GUUAAGGGUUUAAGUAAAUAAAGGGCAUUUUCAAUAAAUCAAAGUAAGCAGAUGAGCCUAAAAAGGAAACUCAUGUACUGCAAUUCCGGCACGAGACAGAGCGUAAAACGCACUCGCCGCAAAAUCCAAAACGCCCGUUUGCUACCCGGCUUGUAGCAGGAAAAAAGGAGUAGAAUUGAACUUGUCGAUACACGUAAUCUUGUGAGCUGCCUAGCGUUUGGAGACUAUGCUGACUCUCCUGUAAAAUUAAUCUUGGCUGAAUUGGAUUCUUAGGCAUUGGCGUCUUGGUGAGUUAAAGUUGCAGUUUCCGACGAGUAACAUUGGUUAGUGAACUCUUGUGUGUAUGUGUGGGUGAAGCUUUGAGCUAAGCAAGUCCUCAAUGUACCGACUAUCAAGUCAUAUUGUAAUCAACAUCAGAUAUGAACGAAAAAUUGUUGGCCUGAAUUUGUGCAGAGCAUUUGAGUAACUUUCUGUAUAUAUGUUUGUUGUAUGCAUCUAUGACUAUGACUUAUUAAAACAUUCUGCUGCUCUAGUCGGAAAAGGGUGUGUACUGAGGCACCGAUCCAAUAGAACUCAGCUCUGAUUUCCCAAUACUUCGUUUGAGUGGUGAAGCACAGAACCAUGUUUUUGACAGUUAAUGGUUAGAAGAUUUUUUUGGUUUGAGAUACUGUAAUCUGAAUUUGUUGGCCUGAAUCUGUGCAGAGCAUGAGUAAUCUUUUUGUAUCGAUUUAUUCUUGUAUACUUCUAUGGCUUCUUAAAACAUUCCGUUGUUCUGGUUGGAGAAGUGUGUACCCGAGGAACGAUCCAAUGGAUUGACCUUUGGUGUCACAAUACUUCCUUUGAGUCGUGAUGCACAUAACCAUGUUUGGGACAGUUAUCGGUUAGAAGAUUUUUUGGUUUGAGAUACAUCAGUCUACUUGUCAAGAAUGUGAACUCUUGUGCGUGUGUUGGUGAAGCUUUGAGCUAAGCAAGUCCUCAAUGUACCAAAUAUCAAGUUGUAGUGUGAUCAAUUUCAGAUACGAAGUAACUUUCUGUAUAUAUGUUUGUUGUAGAAGAUUUGUUGGUUUGAGAAUGUGGAAAAGUUUGCAAUGCAUCAUACUGCACCUAUUUGACAAAUAGGUUUGGCUUUUCUCAGAUCAUGUUAGCUUUUCACAGAAUUACAUUUUCAGACUCCCUGCUCUUGCACCACUGGGCAUGUGAACUGGCAUGUUCAUCGCUCCAAGUAUCUAUCUCGUGAUACUAUCAUCGGUCCUGUUAUUGGUCUCCUCAUUUCUUUCUUGAGUAUUCCUUCCCACAUCAACUCAUCCAGCGCUGGAACUGGCAUGUUCUCUGAUGUAAGUCCCCUGAGGAGCUGCUCCAAGCAAGACAGCAAGCAUGGCGUUAUCAAUCUCACCUCAUCGAGAUGGCUCGUGGACGGGACUAUGCUCAAGCGAUGCAAAUCCACGGAUGAGUGCUCGGGUGAUCGAAGCAGAGGAAGAAAUCAUCAGCAGUGCAAGCUUCUUGGUGGUAGUCUUACAUCAGAGAAGAUGAAGCAGAGGAAGCAGGGUCGCUAGUGCUAGUUGCAAGUGUGUAGUAGCAGUAUUUCACUGGCAUGUUUUUCAGUAGUGCGAGUGAAUUUGGCCAUCAAUUAACUGGUGUCCAUUAUGAUCACAAUUGAUCUAUUAAUGCAAGGGAUUGUUCUAUGUAAAAGCAUUGGAUCUAAUGUAUGCAAGUAGCACUAGAUCUCAUUCUAUGUUUUCAAUCUGUUGUAGUAGUAGGUUUCUUAUGUAAAAGCAUUGGAUGUGAUGAUCCCACCAAGAAUAUCACUUCUGUGCUUGAACUACUAUUCCAGAUGACUUCUAUUUUCCUGGAGAAGAACAGAUAUGUGUGCUUGCUGAACUCCUGAAUCCUGAUGCAGAAUUUACUUGUCGCAUCAGAUCUCUUUCUAUGUUUUCGGUCUGUUGUAUGCAAGCAUAGGAUCUGAUGGAUGCAAGCACACCAGGAAGAUCACUUCUGUGCUUAAACUACUAUUCCAGAUGACUGCUAUUUUCCUGGAGAAGAACAGAUAUGUUGUCUGAAUUUUACACCUCGACAAUGCAGAAUUUAUUUGUCACAUCAGGAAGGCGCCAAAAAAGCAUGUUUCAUUCAGUACAAUUGGUGUAUAUGCUAUUUUCCUGGAGAAGAACAGAUAUGUUAUCUGAAUUUUGCAACUUCUGCAAAUUUCAUUCAGUACAAUUGGUAUAUAUGCCAGACUAGUUUCUCCGCUUCAUCAUAAGUGGUUUGAUCCGAAAACAACUAUUGGUCCUAUUAUCUACUACAUCCAGAAUAGUGAUCUCGGAAUCUCACCUGGAUCAAUCAAGUUUCUGAGAUCAUAGAUGGCAAACCAACACUUGUGAACCAUCAUACUCAGCUCGACAAACAGCAAUCACAGAGUUCAAGAGUUAAGACCUGUAGUUGCACAUACUUGCACAAGAUUACAUCAGUAUUCACUGUGCUCCUGAUGGAAGAUUAUAUGUGUGUACCAUCCCCAAUAGCAAUCAGAAGCCAUUAUCCCCAAAAUUGCAACCUGUCAUGUUGGAUUACCAGGGCCAUAGGCGUUUCACAUUUUCUUUCUGAUUUUAGCACCCCGCAAAAUGAACUCAAUGCUACAAGCAGGCAGUCUAGAUUUCUUAUACUGGCAGCAAGGCUUUAUGCAAGGAAAACUCGAUUGUUUCUGAGGACAUAGUCACAUAUGCAAUGUAUCACACUGCAAUUCUGAACAUAAAUAUCUAUGAAUUUGGUGGCUUGCACUAAUACUUAACCCAUAUCUAUGAAUUUGGAUUCACACUGCAAUUCCAUUAGCAUCCAAUGCACUGAAAAAUAUUUCAGGCCUGGCGUAUGUGGAAGGACAGAAGGCUGCACGAGGUCCUAGAUCGAUCGGUGGGGAACGAAUACGAAAUCGCCGAGAGCGAACCAGCGAACGUUUUUGUUUUCGUUCGCUGGGGAGCUCGCGAUCGAGCGACCCAGCCACAGAAGCCCCUUUAGCUCCCCCCUUCGGCUUCCGGGCCUCCAGGCCCAAUUACAAUUUUCUUUUGUACGCAAAAGAACAUGUAAAAGAUAUUUGAAAAAAAUAUACACUUCCCUCUAGACGAAAACAGAGAAAACAAAAUUAUAAGAAUGCCAUGAUCUGAAAAUAAUUGAAAAUUUCCAUACUGUAAAAAAAAGAGAACAUUUUUUCCAUAGACCAAAAAAAUGCCAUCUCUUAAAAUGCCAAGAUAAAAAAUGCCAUCUCUUAAUGAACAAAAAAAUGCCAUCUCUUAUAAUUAAAAUGUCAUCUCUUAAUAAAAAAAUGCUAUCUCUUGAUAAUAUAAAAACGUCAUUUCUUAAUUAUAAAAUCCCAUCUCUUAAUAAGAAAAAUGUCAUCUCUUAAAAAAUACCAUCUCUUAAUAAAAAAAAAGUCAUAUCUUAAAUAAAAACAUGACAUCUCUUAAUAAAAAAAUGCCAACUCUUAAAUAAACAAAAAUGCCAUUGCUUAAUAAAAAAAUGAUAUCUCUUAUAAUAAAUGCCACGUGACAUAGUUUGAAAAUUUAUAAACUGCCAUGUUGAUUUUUCCUAGAGAAAAUGCCAUCUAGUAAAAAAAAGGAAAAAAAUGGGGUACCGGGAUUCAAACCCAGGUGACCAGGUGGAGGUUUGCGCUGCUAGCCAGUGCGCUGGCUCUAGUGCUUUGAAAUAUAGUUCGCUGGCAUUUUUCUUAUAGCGAACUGUUUUGGAAAUCCCGUGUGGCUAGGAUCCUGUGCCAGGAUUCGCGCAAAUGAAUCCGAUGGCAGAUAUGGGGGUCGCUGCAAAAUUUGUCAUAGCUGACAGUCGCCAGCUAACGUUUUCAAAAUUAUUUGCUUUACCUUCAUUAUUUGUAACUCGUAAGCCCUAUCUGAACCUGACAGCUUUAGGACCUGUUUGCAUGUCGAUGACGAUGGGGCAAAUACAAUUGGAUGAAGGAAUGUUCCUGAGAGCUACUAACUGGUUUGUUCAAUCAAGCACUUAUAGUUUCUACAAGUACUUUACAGGCUUUUAGAUAAUUGUUGUCUGGUCUGGAGCCAUGAACACUAGUAUAUCAAACAGUGUGCAUACACCAAUAAUUAUGGAGAUACCUAGUGAAUUACUAUAGAUGAGUUGAGCCAAGCAUCACAAAAGCUGGAGACUGCUUAUUGCAACAUCUUUAACAAGAUCCACUGGUUCCCGACAUCCCUAUGAAGUCUGGAUGGCGAUUACAUUGUCCCAAGAAUGGUGUCCAUAGGCGCUUACCACCAUGGCCACCCGGAGUGGGCAUGGAGGAGAUCAAGAAGGUCGUGGAUAUUCUUAUAAGUUUUAAACAGUGGUUGUUCAAGUGGUUAUAAGAAUAUGUUUUGGAUUUACCUCUAUUAUUGGUGGUUUAUUCAUAAAUCUUGAAUUGAAAGUUUAUAACAUUAAUGCUAAACGUCUUAAGACUGAUAAAAACCACUUAAAUGUGGCACUCCUUGGUUAUAUCAAGAAAUAAUCUUCAUGUAGAUGAAGUAUUGAAGUCUUUUGAUUUGAAUCAAUGGAGAAAUACAUAGCAGUGUAUGGUAUCCGAUGAGCAAACUAGGGCGCGGUGAAUACUAAUACUUCAUUGAUGUUUUGAGUAAAUAUGAUUUACUAGAUGAAACAUAAGAUCUGAAAUAUUUGAAAAUGUUCAAAGAAAUUCAAAGUAAAGUUAAGAAUAUUUGUGACAAAUGAUAAAAGGUUCUUCAAUCAUGAAGAAAUAUAUCCGAGUCAUGAGUUUAGCCAACACUCGAAUAAUUGUGGAACUAUUUACUGAUUUGCUCACACCUAUGAGUUAUGGAGUACACGAUCCAGACAAAUGCCAAUUUGUAGGUUAUCCCAAAGGCGUAAUUGGGUAUUCCUUCUACCAAAAGUUCAAGGACAAAGUGUUUUUUACAAAUAAUGAACACUUUCUCAUGAAGGAGUUUUCUCGUUAAAAAAGUAAGUGGGAGGAUAAUACAAAUUAAUAAUAUUAUUGAAUCUCUCGCAGAAGGAAGCAGGAUUAACAAACCGGAAGUCGUACCGAAAGUUGUCCGCACAACUGAGCUGGAAGUUACUACACUAGAUGUAGAAAUUCCAAUUAAAGCUUGUAACAGAAAUGCGUAGAUCAGGAAGAGUUAAGGAACCUCCUGAAUAAUUUCACAAUAAGAUAUUCAUCUUAGAAGAAGAUGAACCCGCGCAAUUCAAGGAAGCGAUGGUUGUGCCCAACUCAAAGGAAUGUCUUAUAGCCAUACACACUGAAAUGGAGUUCAUAUACAACAAUUAAUUUAGAACCUAGUUGAUUCUCCAGAAGGUAUGUAACAAAUGGAUAUCAAAACGAGUUUCCUAAGUGGAAAUGAUGUAUGAAUGAUACGACCAGAAAGUUUUGUAGAUCCUAAGGAUACCGAUAGGUGUGCAAGAUUCAAAUGUCUUUCUAUGGUUUGAAGCAACACUACAAAAAAUAGACCAUUCGUGACAUUUUGGCACGAACGAAAACUUUUUCUGUCAUGCUUAUGACACUUCUAUGACGAUAAUUGUGACAAAAACACGUAUCAUCAUAGAUGUGGUGGGUCCUACUUCUAUGAGAAAAAAUCAUGACAAAAAAUGGGAUUUUCAUCCUGGGCGGGCCGGGGACGCACCUGCAUGACAUUCUUGUUGGAACAGUGCGGGGUUCACCUGUAGGAACAGCAGCAACCAGCCCAUAUUUUGUUUUAUAAUUAACAGGUUGUAGUGUACCACUUUGAAGACGUGUCCGCGGAAGAAUGGAGGUGGCUGGAACGGGCACAGAGGAUCCCAUAGGCGCAGCCUCCAACGAAGCAGCGGAUCCCAUCGAUCCCGAGGGGGAGACAACGACGUCAGGGGGAUCUUCUGCGCGCGACUCAUCAGGAGAAGGGGAGCUCGGCGCAGACGAUCCAGAGGAGCCGGGCGUAGUCGACUAGAGGGGCCCAGCGUGCACGGGAUCGGUGCGAUACGGGUCCCACCUCGUGUUGAUGCGGGGGACAGGCGCAAAGCGGGCGGGAGACUAGUCCCCCGUCGUUGGUUGGAUGGUUGUGCGGGCGGGAGACUAGUCCCCCGUCGUUGGUUGGAUGGUUGUGCGGGCGGGAGACUAGUCCCCCGUCGUUGGUUGGAUGGUUGUGCGGGCGGGGACCGACCCCACAGCAGGGCGACACGCGGCGUGAGGAGGUUGGCGCAGGGGGGAUCAGCCGGGGAGGCGCGGGCCUCCUGACGAGGCGGUGAUCCCGGCGUAGAUGUGCCCUGACCUGACGUAGUCGGGCGCGCAGAUCCCGAAGCGGAUCGCCCCUGGUCUCCUGUGCCAGUGGCAGAACCCUCCAGGGCAUGGUUUUCUUCAAAAAAAACAUGAUUUACUUCACCGUUUGCGCUGCAAUUUGUUCCUGUAACACCAUACUCAGGUAAAGGAUUAGGAGAGUUAGUCAAACUGGAUCAUACAAUUAUCAUUACCCAUACGAUCAACUCCAGAAAGAUGGGAAGGAAACAGGAGGAUCUCUUUGCGAAGGAGAGCACCGACAUUAGGAUGGAGUGUGGCAAAAGGAAAUUGUGUUUCAUCAAAUACCACAUCACGAGAAAUAUAGACGCGGCCAGUAGCAACAUCAAGACAUUUAACACCCUUAUGUUGAGCACUGUAUCCAAGAAAGACACAUUGCUUGGAACGAAACAUAAGUUUACGAGUGUUAUAGGGACGGAGAUUGGGCCAACAUGAGCAACCAAAGACUCGAAGAGUGGUGUAGUCAGGUGUGAUAUGCAAAAGACGCUCAGUGGGGGUCUCAUUAAAGAUGAAACGACUAGGCCAUAUGUUGAUAAGGUGCACAUCAGUAAGAAACGCUUCAUCCCAAAAUUAGUGGCAUGGAGGCGGAAGCAAGGAGAGCUAGUCCUACUUCAACAAUGUGGCGGUGCUUGCGUUCGGCUGACCCAUUUUGCUGGUGCGCAUGGGGGCAUGAGACAUGAUGGGAAAUGCCAAUAUUUUAAAAAAAGAAUUGAGCUUCUCGUAUUCCCCACCCCAAUUAGACUGCAUAGCAAUGAUUUUACUAUCAAACUUGCAUUCUACAAGAGCUCGAAAGUUGUGAAACACUUGAAAAACAUCAGAACGCUUUUUGAGCAAAUAGAUCCAUGUGUACUUACUAAAAUCAUCAAUAAAGCUUACAUAUUAGAAUGUCGACCAAAAUAGAAGUAGGGGCUGGACCCCAUACAUCAGAAAAGAUAAGUUGCAAGGGCUUGGUUGACAUAUUAGUGGAUACAUGAUAUGGCAAUUGAUGACUUUUUCCUCGCUUGCAUGAAUCACAAACAGUCUCUAAAUUUAUCUCAUCAACAACUGGGAGUUUAUUUCUACUAAGGAUGAUUGUAUGAGCAAUACUUAGGAAGUAAUGCAUAGAGUCCUUCCACACAGACACCUCUAUGGAGAAUUUCCUUCGUGACCUGAUUCACUACUAGGAAAAGGGCUAUAGAUGAAAUGGAUACUAAUGGCGCACCAGUCAUGUGGUGCGCCACUACUAUAUAGAAGUAGCGCACCAUGUGCAGGUGCGCCAUUAGGGUGGAAGACACUAAUGGCGCACCAGGCACAUGAUGUGCCACUAGUAACAAUUUUUUUUCCAAACAUACUAAUGGCGCAUCCUGGCACAGUGCGCCAUUACUAGUGCUAACUAGUAAUGGCGCACCGGCCAAACAGUGCGCCACUACUGUUGUUGUUUUUUAAUUCUUUUUUUUUGCAAAAUUACUAAUGGCGCACCGUGGCAUAGUGCGCCAUUACUAGUUUAAACUAGUAAUGGCGCACUGUGCCACGGUGCGCCAUUAGUGUAUAUAAUUUUAUUUUAUUUUGCAAAACUACUAAUGGCGCACCAUCUGCUGGUGUGCCAUUAGUAACCAGGGUUACUAAUGGCGCAUUUGCAGGUGGUGCGCCAUUAGUAACCUAGGACCAACAAGAUAUUUUGGACAACCACACCUACCCACUCACUUUCCCCACUUCAUUCUCUCCACCUCCUCCACCAAGCUUGUCUCGGCUGCCUCCUCCUCCUCACCUCAUUUGCACCAUAGAUUCAUCCAAAUUAAGUGGUUAAAUUACCUUUUUUUGAUAGGUAAGUAAGGGGGGAAGCUAUCUUAUGUUGUUCUCCCUCUCCAACAACGUGCACAUGCACUUUUUGUGGCCUAGCUAGAUCUAUGUAUGUUUGUGCUGUUGCAUAUGUUUUGGUGUUGCAUAUAUGUUUAUGUUUGCAGGUACCGGUAUUUAAAAUGCGAUAGUUGCCAAUAUUUUGCCGGAAUGUUGAUUCAUUUCCGUUUCGGCGAGAAUUUUGGCACUAUGCAUUCUUUUUGGUCCUAUUUUUAGGGAAAGUCAUGCCAAUUUUUUUCUUUGUUCUAAAAUAUCGUUUUGCUCUACCCCGCAAGCGACCAUGGUCCGCACGAUGACCGAAGGUAUCGUGAAUAGGUUUUUGAGCUCCGCGAAGGCCGAGAUGCUUCAAAAGAACGAGACGGAGAUAAGAUGUCCGUGUCGAAGAUGCAAGCUGAAGAGCCUUAUUGUGGACCCGGAUUCCGGGCAGGUGCGGAACCACCUGCUCUUGCGUGGUUUCAUGGAUGGCUAUCGGUGGCAAGGUGAUGAAGAUGACUAUGAAGUCGUCCAUGGGGGCCGGGCAAGAAAUGAGCAAGACUCGGGCGGGCGAGAAGACGAAGAAUCUCCAGGACAUGAUCACGACGGUGAUGCUGUACACAGUCAUCAUGUGGAAGAUGCAUGACAUGAUGAUGAGGAAGAUGCCGGAGCAGACGAAGGGCAUGAUCAUGAAGAUGAAGAUGCCGACGGAGCAGAAAACGAUGGACCAUCGAUGGGCUGGGUGGAGGACCCUCAUAUUCAAGAGCUGCUUCUCAAGCAGACGGAUAACGCAAGAGCUGCCGUUUGAGAGAAAGCAAAGCUGGAUCAACUGGAGAUAGACGCGGUUACUCCAUUGUAUGAAGGAUGCAUGCCCGAGGAUACCCGCCUGAAAGUAACUCUCAUGGCUCUGGAGAUGAAGGUAAAACACAAAAUGACCGACGCAUGCUUUGACGAGAACAUGUCAUUCUGGCAUGAACGUCUUCCCAAGGGGAACAAGUGUCCAACUAGUUUCGAGGAGGCGAAGAAAAUCGUGUGUCCUCUGGAUUUACCGUACGUGAAAUACCAUGUGUGCAUGAACAAUUGCAUCAUUUAUCAGGACGAGCACGCGGAGUCUACCAUAUGUCCGGUGUGCGGCGUCACUCGAUACAAGAAGAGGAAGAAAGCUUCUCGAAAAGUGGUGUGGUACUUUCCGAUCACUCCUCAUCUGCAGCGGUAUUUUGCGGACCCUAAGGUAGCAAAGCUCCUGCGUUGGCACGCGGAUAGGGAGGAGAAGAAGCGAAAAGAUGGCGCAAAUGAUCCGGAGAUAAAUAAAAAAGACAAGAUGCUGCGUCAUCCUAAGGAUGGGAGCCAGUGGCAAGCGUUGAACUUCGAACACCCAGAAUUUGGGAAGGAUCCAAGGAACAUCGUGCUGGGCGUGAGCAUCGAUGGAGUCAAUCCGUUUGGCAGCCAGAGAAGCACACAUAGCACCUGGCCUGUGUUUGUGUGGAUGUACAACCUUCCCCCCUGGUUGUGCAUGAAGAGGAAGUACAUUCACAUGAGUAUGCUAACUGAAGGGCCGAAACAACCAGGGAACGACAUCAAUCUGUAUCUGGGGCUGCUAAAAGAGGAGCUAGAUACGCUGUGGAAAACGCCAGCCAAUACGUGGGACACCGCAGAGAAAGAAUAUUUCCCUAUGAGAGCCACACUGCUCACGAGGUGCACGACUAUCUCGGUUACGGAUAUCUCGCGGGGCAGGUGGUCCACAGAUUUUCUGGAUGCGUCAGGUGCAUGGAUGACACAACGUAUCGCCAGCUAGAUAGAGAUCCCAGGUCUUCGAAAACCGUGUUCAUGGGACAUCGAAGGUGGCUUCGCGACGAUGACCCGUGGAGGAAACACAAGGAUCUGUUCGAUGGUGAAACCGAACCCCGAAGACGCCCGCGUACGAGGAGCGGUGAGGAAAUAGACCAGCUGUUGAAAAAUUGGAAAGAUUGCCCACUGCCGGGAAAGAAGCAAAAGGCGCCAGAGCCGGGAAAGAAGCGAAAGGCACCAGAGCCGCUGCUGAAGGUAUGAAGAACGUGUGCGAGAGUCUGCUUGGUACCCUGCUCAACAUGCCAGAGAGGACCAAAGAUGGGCCGAAAGCAAGGGCAGACUUGAAAUCAAUGGGCAUUAGGGAGGAGCUUCACACUAAUGAUGAUGAUGAUGAGGCGAAGUAGGACAUGGAAAGUUGUCGCAAAGGCAAAAAGGCCAAGAAGACCGGAAAUGACUACCCUCCCGCGUGCUUCACUCUAAGUCAGGAGGAGAUCGAUCAGUUUUUCACCUGCCUCGUAGGAGUAAAACUUCCUUAUGGUUACGCGGGGAAGAUAAGCAGAUACCUAGACACAGCGAACCAGAAGUUCAGUGGGAUGAAGUCUCACGACUGUCACGUGCUGAUGAUGUAGAUACUUCCUGUUGCAAUCCGUGGGAUCAUGGACGCGCACGUCCAUGAAACGCUAUUUGGCCUAUGCAACUUUUUCGACGUCAUCUCUCGGAAGUGGGUUGGCGUGAGGCAACUCAGAAGGCUACAGGAAGAGAUCGUGGUGAUACUAUGCAAGCUUGAGAUGUACUUCCCGCCCGCAUUCUUCGACGUUAUGGUGCAUCUGCUGGUCCAUAUCGUGGAGGAUAUCAUCCAACUCGGGCCGACGUUCCUGCACAGCAUGAUGCCGUUCGAAAGGAUGAAUGGUGUCAUCAAAGGAUACGUUCACAACAUGUCACGCCCAGAGGGAAGCAUAGCCAGGGGCUUUCUGACCGAAGAGUGCAUCUCCUACUGCACGAAUUAUCUAGGCACCGAGAACCCCGUUGGUCUACCCGUCAACAGGCACCUCGGCAGGCUCGCUGGAUGGGGUCACCGUGAGGGUCGCCGCGAAAUGCAUGUCGACUUCGAGGGUCGACUCGCUGACUUUGAAAGAGCAAACCUAGUCGCGCUACAGCACAUAGACGUGGUCGAUCCUUGGGUGCUAGAGCACAAAACCUUUAUUGAGAAGACGUACAAUGACCUAGGCCAACAGAGGACGGACGGAGAUAUAAUCAAAGAGCACAACCCAUGUUUCAUGCGUUGGUUCAAGCAGAAGCUUCUGUCGUACCCUUUACAUGAGGAUUCUUCCGCGGAAGAACAACUCAUAUUCGCCUUGUCACAGGGCGCCGAGCACAACCUGAUGACGUAUGAGGUGUAUGAUAUCAACGACUACACAUUCUACACCGAGGGAAAGGACAUGAAGAGCGAUGGUUAUCAGAACUCCGGGGUAACGAUGGAAUCCUACACCGGUAAUGACAAGGACAUAUACUACGGAAGGAUCGAGGAGAUCUAGGAGCUGAGUUACGCUGGAGAGAAGGUCUCGAUGUUCCGUGUCAGAUGGGCCAAGAGCGUCAUAAAAGAAGACCGGUAUUUCACCACCAUGGUUAUACCCGAAGCCAAAUCCAGGACCGCGGGCGCAAACGUCACCGUGAAAAAUGAGCCAUGGGUACCUGCUUCCCAAGUGGACCAAUGCUUCUUCAUUACCGACUCGCCAAAGCCCAGUCGUGUUGUCGUGAGGAGAGGCAAAAGGAAGAUCAUCGGAAUGGAUGGAGUCGCCAAUGAGCAAGACUUCGACAAGUACGGCGACCCGAAGAUGGAACAUGAUGACGACGAUGAAGUAUCAGCAUACACCACAAGAAGAAGCAGGACCACCCUACCUAAAGGACGUCCGUUCAAGAGAAGAACUCCAUUUACGAAAAAUAAGGGCAAGAAGAUUGUGAACAGAUAGCUAGCUAAGAUCAAUUGUAUUUAAAUUGUAGCCUUCAUUUCUCGAUUAUUGUAUUUCAUGGGCACUUUAAUUUUGAACUCAUGAAUGUUUUUAAAUUUCAUGGACACACGAUCUCGAUCCCCCUCCAUCUCGAUCGCUAUCCCACCUCGCCAGAUCCGGUCUCCCUCGCCGCUGACGACCCAUCGCACCCUCCCUCGCUCCACCGACCGCCGCCGCCGACCCCCCGCACCCUCCCCCGCUCCACCGCCGCCGACGACCCACCGCACCCUCCCCCGCUCCACNNNNNNNNNNNNNNNNNNNNNNNNNNNNNNNNNNNNNNNNNNNNNNNNNNNNNNNNNNNNNNNNNNNNNNNNNNNNNNNNNNNNNNNNNNNNNNNNNNNNNNNNNNNNNNNNNNNNNNNNNNNNNNNNNNNNNNNNNNNNNNNNNNNNNNNNNNNNNNNNNNNNNNNNNNNNNNNNNNNNNNNNNNNNNNNNNNNNNNNNNNNNNNNNNNNNNNNNNNNNNNNNNNNNNNNNNNNNNNNNNNNNNNNNNNNNNNNNNNNNNNNNNNNNNNNNNNNNNNNNNNNNNNNNNNNNNNNNNNNNNNNNNNNNNNNNNNNNNNNNNNNNNNNNNNNNNNNNNNNNNNNNNNNNNNGAAUGCAACUAAAAUUGCAACAAAAAACAAAUUUGAUUAUAUUUUCAAAUAACAAAUUUGAUGAUAUUUUCAAAUAAUAAAUUUGAUGAUAUUUUUUCAUAUUCAUAAAUAUUUUCAAAUACCAAAUUUGAUGAUAUUUUUUAAAAAAUUAUUGCUGUUUUAUAAAAAAAUAUUACUGUUUCAUAUUCAUUUUCUUAAAAAUUAUUAGAUGCAACAAAAAAUAAAAUAAUUACUUAUGGCGCACCUCUGGCUGGUGCGCCAUUGCUAUAUAUAUAAAAAAAGAUUACUAAUGGUGCGCCAUUGCUAUAUAAAAAAAAGAUAACUAAUGGCGCACCAGCUGGGGGUGCGCCAUUGCUAUCUAAAAAAACAUACUAAUGGUGCACCGCUGCGGGGUGCGCCAUUAGUAAGCUGCCCCCCCAAGCUAAUUCCUCCCUCUUCCUCUCGCCAGAUCCCCUUCGUCCAGAGCCCCUCGCCAGAUCCACCCGCGCUGCCCCGACGCCGCCGCCCCGACCCCCACGGACUCCACCCCCGCCGCCCCCGCGCCCCCACCACCGCAGCUCCCCCGCGCCGCCGCCCCUGCACCCCCCACCACUGCAGCUCCCCCANNNNNNNNNNNNNNNNNNNNNNNNNNNNNNNNNNNNNNNNNNNNNNNNNNNNNNNNNNNNNNNNNNNNNNNNNNNNNNNNNNNNNNNNNNNNNNNNNNNNNNNNNNNNNNNNNNNNNNNNNNNNNNNNNNNNNNNNNNNNNNNNNNNNNNNNNNNNNNNNNNNNNNNNNNNNNNNNNNNNNNNNNNNNNNNNNNNNNNNNNNNNNNNNNNNNNNNNNNNNNNNNNNNNNNNNNNNNNNNNNNNNNNNNNNNNNNNNNNNNNNNNNNNNNNNNNNNNNNNNNNNNNNNNNNNNNNNNNNNNNNNNNNNNNNNNNNNNNNNNNNNNNNNNNNNNNNNNNNNNNNNNNNNNNNNNNNNNNNNNNNNNNNNNNNNNNNNNNNNNNNNNNNNNNNNNNNNNNNNNNNNNNNNNNNNNNNNNNNNNNNNNNNNNNNNNNNNNNNNNNNNNNNNNNNNNNNNNNNNNNNNNNNNNNNNNNNNNNNNNNCCCGGCGCAGGAUCCCCACCUCCUCCUACCUUCCUCCCUCACCCCAUCACCUUCCUCCCCCAACGAGCUCGCACGCACCUUGGAUCCCCGGCGCCGGUGUGCCCCUUCCCACCGCCCUCCCUGAUGGCCGCCUCCAUCACCACCCCCUCCAUAGCGCGUGCGCCGCCCCAGCACCAUCACCUAAACCAUCCACUGCUGCUCCCCCCAUCUUCUUCUACUCCAUUGCCAAGCACCACCGCAGGUACGAAUGAGGUCCAUCGGCAUCGAGGUUCUAGCAAGUUUGCCCUGCAGUUUGGGCUAGCAAUUCACUUUUGUUAUUGCUGCUGAACCUCCCCGAGUAGGAGUGCAGUUCUCUCUGUAGUUCUUUUUUUAACUUGUGCCAUGCAGUUCGCAAUGUAAAUUUGCAGUGAAUUGUUUGUAAUUUUAUUUCUGCUGGUUGCCGCUUGCUUGCUUCGUGUAUCAUGUGCUACUGAAGAUGAGUAAUUGUAGGAAGAUGAUGCAUAGUAGUUUUAUGUUGUUGUAGUAGUUGUAGGAUGUUAUUGUAGUUGAAGUUGCAGGAGUAGAUAAUGGAGUACUGCCAAUUUACUGUUAGUAAAGAUGUUGAACACACAACUGUUGUUUACUCUAGUGAUAGGAGUAGUAGUGGUGUCCAUCUAGUUGGACUACUACUGCUAGGACUUGCUCCAGAUUUUAGGAUUUCUUUUCUUUUACGAUUUAUUUUCUUCUAGGACUAAAUUGUUGUAGUAUGUGUGGUGCGCUGAAGUACUCCAUUUUAGACACAAAGCACUGUGUUGUGGAGUACCCCAACCAGUUGAGUGGAAUAUUUCCAGUAGUUAGAAUACUUCCAUUAGGGCAUCUCCAUUGCAUAGCCGCUUAUGUAGGCGCUUAAGGCUUAAAAAUAAAACUUUGUCCGCCCUGCAUACUUCCAUUAGGGCAUCUCCAUUGCAUACUUUGUCUUGCUGAUUAGACUACCAAGUACUAAAAUCUAAGUCAAAUCGUUUGCUUACAUCUCCCAGGUUACAUGACUUCUGAAGUUAUUUCACUUGUUGACGAGAAAGAAAACAGAGCUAAACUGCUGAUUGUCAAGGUAGUGGUCAGUACUACAUGCUUGUUCUCGUUUAAUAUUGGUUGAUUUCUCAAAUAUAUUAUAUGCAUGUCUUGUUUUCUGGUCUGAUAAUGCUUACCUAAGGUUUUUAUUAUUUUGCUGUUGUGAUUGUUUUUUGAGCUCUUUAUUUUUCAUUUCCUACUAUCCUUAUCCUAAUUAUCUUAAAUUGUUAUGAUGUGUGUAACAGGAUUAGAUCUUGGAUUUGCUAGUGGACUUUGGGAGUUUCUUAGCCAGCUUGGUGACUCCAUAUUUUUCACUAUUUCAUCAAGUCUUUUGUAAGCAUUAAACUUUCAGCACUACAUUUUUAUCUUAUGUGUACAUCUGUUUGCUUCCAAUUGCUAUAUAUGUAUUGUUGUUACUAAAAAUGAUGAAGCUCAUGUCAAUUGCUAUACAUAUAUAUAUGUGUAUGAUGAUCCUCCUUUCCUAAAAGUGAGAUUGCCAUACGUAGUUCAGAACUGACCUAGCUAAGGUUGUUUUCCUACUGAAUGAUGAUAUUAUUAUGAUGAUAUUUUCCUACUGAUUAUAAUUUGUACCUGUGUACUAGCACUGUGUCAUAUUCUUCCAUUACAAGUAGUACAAGGCUAGUACUAGUAGUGCUACUCUCUUACUGCCAGUGACAGUCUAUCGAGGUCAUUAACUCCAACUCAAGUGGGCAUAAUUCUCUGCAGUAGUAUAGCACUUGCAGUAGUAUGGCACUUGCAGUAGUGGUGCCUACGCAAGAUACAGUUCAGAUUUGAUUAGUUCCCUAAAUUUGUAUGACCACAGAUUUGUAUAGUUUCAAAGAUUUGUAUGACCAAAGAUACAGUUCAGAUUUGAUUAGUUCCAUAAAUUUGUAUGACCAAAUAUAUAUUUCAGAUUUGUAUAGUUUCAGAGAUUUGUAUGACCAAAGAUACAGUUCAGAUUUGAAUUGUUUCAGAAAUUUGUAUGACCAGAGAUACAGUUCAGAUUUGAAUUGUUUCAGAAAUUGGUAUGACCAAAGAUGCUGUUGUAUAUAAAUGGGCUGCUGUAGAACUGUUCUUCAUCUUUAUAGUGCUGUUGUAUAGAAAUAUGCUGAAUUUUCUGCUCUGAUUGUUGCUCAAAGAAAUUUAGCAAAAAAAUGGGGUCCUGGGAGACGCUGCUGCUGCUUGAGGCCCUUGAGAGGCCCUUCGUGUCGUGAUGAUUUUGCAGGUACCCCGAGAGGCCCUUGAGUUUUCCGGAAUGUCGAUUAACUUCCGUUCUGGCAAAUUCGGGUACUCCAUAUGUCCUAUUUUCAGCAAAGGUCAUGCUGAAAUUUUCCGUGAAUUUUAGCAUGACUUUGCUAAAAAUCGGACAUAUGGGGUACUUGCUGCUAAUGCAUGGGCCGGGGUAUCUUAGUACUUAAUUCAGUAGGAUCAACUGCCCCUUUAUUCUUGCUGCAUUAAACCAUAGGUGGCAAUAGAGCCAAGUGAUUAGGCCCAACUUAGAAUUCUCCUUAGCAUCGAUAAACCCUAGUUGAUAAACCCAACAUAGGUGGCAAUAGAGCCAAGUGAUUAGUGCCAAGUGAUUAGGCCCAACCUAGGGUGCCUCGGCAUCGAUAAACCCUAAAUGAUGAAAACUUAACUUAGCAUUUAGGGUGCCUCGGCGUCGACAAACCCUAAAUGAUGAAACCUUGGCUUUUAGGGUGCCUCGGUGUCGAUGAGAACCUAAAUGAUGUACGCUUAGGCUUUUAGGGUGCCUCGGCGUUGACAAACCCUAAAUGAUAAAAGCUUAGCUUUUAGGAUGCCUCGGUGUCGACAAACCCUAAAUGAUGAGACCAUGAUCUUGUUCCUUGACAAUAACCAACUUUUUGACCAAAAUUUUUCCCUAUUUAGAGCGAAACAUGGCCCACAAUGAUGAGGCCGGCGGUUCGGGCGGCAAGCAAUUCUGGGAGCUGUCCCAGGAGUUGGAGGAAGAACCUCACCGCUAUGAGGACGCCGCAAAAGACACCGAUCCUGGCUACACAACCCCUAGUGGCGUCGGGGAUGACACCACUGAUGGUGCCGCCGAGGAUGCCACCACUGAUGAUGGCGGCGCAGAUGGCAGCCAACCGAAGAGGCAACGAAAGGACCGGCGCCCGAACGUGCUCGGCACCGUCAAGGAGGAAUUUACUAAAGUGAACUCCGACGGGCAUCCGACAGCGCCCAAAGAAGUAGUCAAGGGGUACUCGGUUCAGCUCAGGUGCAUUCUCCGGAGCACCGUCUCGAUCAACACCGAGAACCUAAGGCAUAAGGACCGAGGGAAUUUGCGCAGCCUCCUCUUCACGAAGCUGCACGACGAUACAAGUUCCCCGCUGAAUUUGCAAACACACGCCUCUCAGGGAACAAAGUGAACAGUGCCGCCCUCACGAGGAUGAGCACGGCCCUGUCUACUUGGAGAAGCACGGUCAAGGCAAUGAUUGAAAAAGGUGAUAGUUAUGAGAAGAUCAAGGCGAAAUAUCCUUUGAUGAGCGAAGAUGACUACAAGGACUUCAAGAUCAAGUGCAAGAGCAGCGCAACCUCCGAAUCAAGUCAGUGGGGGAAAGAAAUGCGGCAGUUGAACUUAGGGGUCCACCAACUCGGUUCCGGCAGUUACAGAGUGGCGGAGCCUAUAUGGGAUAAGGAGGACGCGGAGCGUGCCGAGCAAGGCCUACCGCCCCGCUUCGAGAAAUAUCGUGACAAGCAGACCAGGAACUUUCUUAGGGCCCGGUACAAGGAGGACCCGGUAACAAAGGAGCUUACCACGGAUCCUAAGACCAGGGCGCUCGAGCUUGUUCUGGUAAGGAAUACACCCGCGCGUAAUUAGCUCCAUAUGGUUGCAUUCUAAUUAAUCCCCAAUAUUUCUAAAUGGUUCACGUUCCUUCCGCAGGACACUGAAAGCAGUAGCGCGGGGUUGUCUCAGAGCUCCCCUUUUGACACCCCUUUAAAUAGGGCGUUGAACGUAAUGAAAAACAAGGAUAAGCUCAGUAAGCCGACGUCAGCUGGUCGUGUGGCCGGCAAAGGCUUGUCCACAAAAUGGUCAUCAUACUAUACCGCUGGUGGGCGAAAGGAGAAAAAGACCAGCUCGGAAAGCCAGUCGUGCGAGGUUGAAGCACUCAAGGCACAAGUGGCGCGGAUUUCGGAGAUUGUCCAAGAGCAAGUGCAACAACAACUGGGAACGACGCUCACCGCCAUGGUGCCUACGUUGAUUCAUGGGCUGACGACGUGGAUUGCGGGCGACCAACAGGGGCCUCCCCCUGUUCCUAGCUUCACGGCCAGCAACUCGCACAACGCACAGGCGGCGCCAUUGGUGUCUCCGGCGGUGUCAUUGGUGUCUCCGGCGGAGGCGGUAUUCAUGUCUCCGGCGCCGGCACGGGCAUUGGAGCUUAAUGGACCCGAGUGUACGCCGGCCGGCACCUCGCCAGCAAGCGGCCCCUCCGUCAGUUGCGUGCCCGCCGUUGGCGGUGCCUCGACAUUAGCCGAGCUCGACGGCAUCAUGGUAAUUAAGCCUCUCAGCCGAUGACUUCAUCUCCUUGCCUUUGACUGGGUAUCCCUGACGCCCUACAUGUUUUCGCAGGGCGCCGCCAACGUUCCUUGCACUCUCCUGCACUUCGUGGGCGGCGAGUUGGUCGAUGUCGCCAAGGGCAGAAUCAUUCAACCGGGUAACCCCGUGUUCCACGGUAAUCCGAUGCCACCCACCUUGUAUAGGGUUGAACUGGUUCGGGUGCUGCCAGGCUACGACGAGCUGUUACCUCCGAUUCGACCCGCUGGGUCCGACGAAGAAGAUGAGAUGACCCUCAGCGCCUGCGUAAGCUGGCCCCUGCUUUGGCCGAAGAGCCAGAUUCGUUUGGGGCGGGGGACACCACCCCACAGACAAGACCGCCAGUCAUGCCGGCGCCAAGCCAUGGCAAGAACGCCGCAAUGCUACCGGACAUGCCGGACAUCCCUAUGGCACAGGAUCCGGACAUGCAUAUGGAACAGGAUCCGGACAACGACGACAACGACGACGGUACAUUUACCAACGUCGAUAAGUACUUUGCCGAACAUGGGUACGCUGACGAGUUCUGCGGGCCUCCUUCUCAAGAAACCAACCAAGACGACCGCAAUCUAGCUGGUACGACGGAGAAAUCCAAUUGCAAUAGGCGUCAUCUGGCGUUCAGUUCUCAGGAGACGCCUCCAGCUCCCGCCUUCAUCGAGCCUCAGACAGCUGAGGUGAGAAAUAUUAUCAGCCCCAACACGCUCAAGAAGGCGGUCUGUGAGCAGAACUCAGUCCCAUUACAGCAGAUCAAGAAGAAGGGACGGAAACAGAAGACUAACAAGGGCGCCGGUGCGAGCCAGCCAGCACCGAGUACGAUCCGUGCUCAGGACGGGCCACCUUCAGCUAAGGAUAUCUCGAGGAGGGUGCAUGUGGUGGAUAGGGCGAUGCUACCGCCAAAUAUGCUCAAUGCUGCAACCGGUGCUAUGUGGAGUCUGCAUGACAGUGUUCUUUCUUUGGAGAAGCGGCGUCUCUCCCAGAAUGAUGUGGCAUACCCGAUUUUCGUCGCCAAGGUGCCAGAGGGCAAGGGCUUUGUGGAUGGCUCCAUCGGGGGUACGAUCGUCCUGCGAUUUGAUGACAUCUUUGCUAUGUUUAACCUUCAUCCGCUGCACUACAUCUUCGUUCGGCUGUUUUCGCUGAGUAUGGAGAUGCGGGUCAUUCGAGACAAGACCCCAGACAUCGUGAUAGUCGACCCCUUCUACAUGCGUGCCAAGAUCUUGGGCAGCGCUGGGGACCGGCAAGUCGCGAGUUCACACCUCGAAGAUGUCAUUCUAGCAAACCCAGAUAAGGAUAACUUCCUCGUGCCUUACUUUCCCAAGUAAGUCAUCCCCUCACCGCCCCGUAACAUAUGAUUUCUUAGAUUUUGAUCGUUCUUUUUUUUCUAACAUUCCGUGUUCUGUGCAGUGACACACAUUGCACACUCAUCCUCUUAAGCCCGAAAUAUUCCACGGCCACGUAUUUCGACCCAGACCGUGACUCCAAGAUAGACUACACAAAUAUCAAGAAAGUUCUUGAUGAUGUUCUCCCCGGCUACGCCAAAUCUGGAGGCACUUUUAAGAAGCCAGUUCAUAGGUACGGCAGGCACGUGUUCACCCACAAUACGAUGUUCCCCUAUGUCAAGCAGUCGCCUGGCGGUCAUAAGGAUGCCUACUACGCCCUCCAUCACAUGCGGGCGAUCGUACGGGACCAUAAUCACCUUCUGUUACCAAAUAAUGUCAAAGAUUGGGCCACGCUUGGCGGCAAUCCAGGACGCGGACCUUCGACAAGAAUUCUUUCGCAUCCAGUCGGAGUUUGCAGAAAUCAUCCAUCAAGAAGUCCUUCAUACCUCGGGGCAGUUCUACCUCAGAUAUCAACCGUCCAACAGUGAGAUAGACACAACGCUACAAAUGUAGGCUGACAACUGCUACCUCUUGAGCACUGCGUUGGAUUUCCCCGAAGAGGAGAGGAUGAUGCAGCAAAGUAGCGUAAGUAUUUCCCUCAGUUUUUGAGAACCAAGGUAUCAAUCCAGUAGGACACCACGCACAAGUCCCUCGUACCUACACAAAACGAUAGCAACUCGCAACCAACACGAUUAGGGGUUGUCAAUCCCUUCUCAGUCACUUACGAAAGUGAGAUCUGAUAGAGAUGAUAAAUAAUAUUUUUGGUAUUUUUGAUAGAUAGAUGCAAAGUAAAAAGUAAAAGGCAAAGUAAAAACAAGGCAAGUAAAUAAAGUGAUAGAGAUUGAUAUGAUGAGAAUAGACCCGGGGGCCAUAGGUUUCACUAGUGGCUUCUCUCAAGAGCAUAGAUUUCCUACGGUGGGUGAACAAAUUACUGUUGAGCAAUUGAUAGAAUUGAGCAUAGUUAUGAGUAUAUCUAGGCAAUGAUCAUGUAUAUAGGCGUCACGUCCAAAACAAGUAGAUCGAAACGAUUCUUCAUCUACUACUAUUACUCCACUCAUCGACCCUAUCCAGCAUGCAUCUAGAGUAUUAAGUUAAAAACAGAGUAAUGCCUUAAGCAAGAUGACAUGAUGUAGAGGGAUAAAUUCAUGCAAUAUGAUAAAAACCCAUCUUGUUAUCCUCGAUGGCAACAAUACAAUAUGUGCCUUGCAACCCUUUCUGUCACUGGGUAAGGACACCGCAAGAUUGAACCCAAAGCUAAGCACUUCUCCCAUUGCAAGAACUACCAAUCUAGUUGGCCAAACCAAAAAGGAUCAUUCGAAGAGACUUGCAAAGAUAACUCAAUCAUACAUAAAAUAAUUCAGAGAAGAAUCAAAUAUUUUCCAUAGAUAAUACUGGAUCAUAAACCCACAAUUCAUCGGUCUCAACAAACACACCGCAAAAAGAAGAUUACAUUGAAUAGAUCUCCACGAGAGAGGGGGAGAACAUUGUAUUGAGAUCCAAAAAUAGAGAAGAAGCCAUCUAGCUACUAGCUAUGGACCCGAAGAUCUGAAGUAAACUACUCACACUUCAUCGGAGGGGCUAUGGUGAUGAUGUAGAAGUCCUCCGUGGUGGAUGCCCCCUCCGGCGGAGCUCCGGAACAGGCCCCUAGAUGGGAUCUCGUGGAUACAGAAGGUUGCGGCGGUGGAAUUAGGUUUUUGGCUCCUGUUCUGAUCGUUUGGGGAUACAUAGGUAUAUAUAUAUGAGGAAGGAGUACGUCGGUGGAGCGUCAGGGGGCCCACGAGGUAGGGGGCGCGCCCGGGGGGCGCGCCCUCCACCCUCGUGACCGCCUCUGGCACUUCUUGGAGUAGGGUCCAAGUCUCCUGGAUCACGUUCGGCUAGAAAAUCACGUUCCCGAAGGUUUCAUUCUGUUUGGACUCCGUUUCUUUGAAACACUGAAAUAGGCAAAAAAACAACAAUUCUGGGCUGGGCCUCCGGUUAAUAGGUUAGUCCCAAAAGUAAUAUAAAAGUGGAAAAUAAAGCCCAAUAUAGUCCAAAACGGUAGAUAAAGUAGCAUGGAGCAAUCAAAAAUUAUAGAUACGUUGGAGACGUAUCAGGCAUCCCCAAGCUUAAUUCCUGCUCGUCCUCGAGUAGGUAAAUGAUAAAAAUGAAUUUUUGAUGCGGAGUGAUACUUUGGCAUAAUUUCAAUAUAAAUCUUCUUACUUGUGAUAUGAAUAUUCAGAUCCGAAAGAUUCAAGACAAAAGUUCAUAUUGACACAAAAAUAAUAAUACUUCAAGCAUACUAAUCAAAGCAAUCAUGUCUUCUCAAAAUAACAUGGCAAAAGAAAGUUCAUCCCUACAAUCAUAUAGUUAGUGUUGGGGAUAUUACCACUAGGCGUAAACCGGCCUACUUGGGCCGGGUUAACUUCAUUAGUGGUAUAAGCAGAUGAAGGCCCAAGGCCUGUAGUCGAUUUAGAACCUGUAGCCGUAAACCGGCCUAAUGUAUAACUUGUAUUGUAAGUUAGGAAUAGAGAGAUACCAACCGGGAUACGAGUAUGAACCGGUUGGGACUCUAAGGACCGAAGGGCGUCACCCGUAUAUAUAUAAGGGAACGACUCGGCGGCGGUUCAAGACAGACAACGACAACUCGAGCCUAGGCGAAGCUUGUUUGCUCCCUAGCCAUCGAGACCACAUCAAUUCCAUCACAACUAGACGUAGGCUUUUACCUUCAUCGAAGGGGCCGAACUAGUAUAAACCCUCGUGUCUUUGUGUCCGCUUUAACCCCUUCAAGUUAACCCGUAGCGAUGGCUCCACGACUAAGUCCUUUCACUAGGACAUCUACCGUGACAAAUCCACGACAGUUGGCGCCCACCGUGGGGCUAUCGCACGAUGGUUUGACGAUCUUGGAGGGCAAGCUCAAAGGACUCGAAGGCUAUGCUGUGGGCCGGAUGACCAAGAGUCGUCGUGGCAAGAUCUACAUCGACGAUGCAGGAUGGGGUCCCGAGGCCGAUUCGAUCGAGUACGGGUACCGGGUCCCCUUUGGUGGCAUACACGUUUUCAUCAGCAAGAUCGGUGAGCCCGGGCCUGAGCCGGACGUCUGCACCGACCUCGUCGAGACGGCUCAGCGUGCGAGAUCUACCCAGGCUAAACUGGCCAUGAAGCGUGCCUUCGUUGGAGUCAUCCACGGAGGAGAGCGUGAGGACGAGUCAGAACACGAUAGCGAGACCGUUGUCUAUUCCGGCGACGAGUCCUCGACCGGGGAAACCGAAUCGCUAUACCAGUUGCAAGACGACCAGGUUAGGGGCUGUUCCGAUGGCGACAGUAUUCCGGACCUCCCAGGUCAGAUCAACCGGGUUGGAAUAUUCAUGGCCGGCACACAGGCGGCGAAACACUCUUCGACCGCCGCAGCAAUGCUCUCCGGAUCAGCAGCGGCAGCGGCAGCAGGGGCAGGAGGCCUUAUGCGCCCACCGGUUCAAGUUUUGUCUGACCUGUUUGAUGCAUUAGCCACGCUUAUGGCAGAGGCCAAUCCGGCGGAUCAGGAGGCCCAUGAUGCAGAGAUUGCAGAGGUGAGAGAGCAGAUUGUACAAGCCAAAGCAGAUCUGGCAGCAGAAAAGGACAGGAUGGCCGCAGAGCGGGCCGCUUUGGACGCCCAGGCCUAUAAGCUCAUGCUUGACCAGAACGCGUCACAGGAGGUCUUGAAGCGGAAGCACAGGUCACGCCUGCCGUUAGGGUUUGACCCUCAAAAUCUCUUUCACACUCCGGGAACUGGACCCAGUAAUCCGCCACAGUACCUAGAGGCAAACCGGAUCGAGGCACCAGGGCCAGGGGCGACGGUCCAACCUCGCCUGAUGGAACCUCCUCAACAGAACAUUGUGAUUCCUUCGCCGGUUCAGACACCUCCGGGUCAUUAUUCUAAUCCUAUGGACAAUCUCGUUGCGGCUGCUGCGCGUUUAGAGGCUAUCCCGGUCGAAGGGGAUUCUCCGCAAGCGAUAGAGACACGACGGGUUAAGGAACUUCUCCGGACCGCGCUGAUUCAACAGGAGGCAUAUUCAUACAGCCGCGAUCGGAUUCAUUCCACACCUCAUCCAAGCCGGAGCUAUAACAGAUGCAUGGAUGAACCGGCCAUAUCGAGCAAUGCACGAGGCCGCGAAGCGGCCCGUGGCAAUAACCCGGCCGGUGGUGUUCGUGAUGCUCAGGAUGUGGUGGACCGGGCUCGAGCAUGAAGGAAGGCCGAGUUAGCAGCACAGAACGAGGCGGGUCAGCUUACACCGGUUCGUCCUACCACCUCUGCCGGGCCAGGGGUUGCAUCCGCUUUGGGAGUGCCUUGUUUAGUCCCCGCUUUACGCAAUGUGUGCCUGCCCAAGGAUUUCAAGGGUCCGCGCAAGGUGCCGAAUUACACCGCCGAUUUAUCUCCGGAAGCGUGGGUAUAGAGUUAUGAGAUGGCCAUGGAGAUGCUAGAUGUGGAUGAGACCGCGCGUGCAAAGUACUUCACCAUGAUGCUUGAGGGCAUGGCCCGUACUUGGUUGAAGAGCUUGCCGCCCAAUUCUAUCAGUUCAUGGGCCCAGUUGCGGGCCCGGUUUAUCCAGAAUUUCAAAGAUACGUGUAAGCAGCCCAAGUCCAUCGUAGACCUGGCGGCUUGUGUUCAGGAGGACAGAGAGUCAACCACCCAUUAGGUGCGCCGCGUUUCGGAAGUCUUGCACUCGUCUGACAGGAUCAAUGCUGAUUCUGCGAUCUUAACCCUGGAGGGCAACUGCCGGUUUAAGCCCUUAAAAUUCAAAUUGGGGCGCAUGAAGAGGUUUUGUAAUGACAUGGGAACUCUCAUGGCCGCUUUAGUGAAGUAUGCUGAUUCGGAUAGUACCAAGGAUCCCGAGACUGACGAUGAUGAAGCAGGGAAGGGAAAGAAGAAUAGCAAUUCCAGGGGGCAACAGUACAAACCGGUGGGUCAUGGAAACGGGGGCAAGCGAAAGGCGGAUGGCAGCAUGGACUUUGUGGCUAACACUAACGCACAGGACAGGGGUCAGCGGCGCAGAGGUAAAGCGGUAAAUCGUAAUGGGGCUCCAAAUCCUAACGCGGAUCAUUUGAAUUAUUUGUUGAAUCAGCCUUGCCCAAAGCACGUGACGAAGGAGGCACCGGCUAACCACCUUUGGAAGGAUUGUUAUAUUAUGCAGGAGUUUAAAAACUCUAAUGCUUUCCAGUACGACCGCGGGUCAGGUGGCGGUUCAGGAUCCGGUUUCCAUGGGCCGGACCACGAUGGAGCUUCCGGUUCAGGUCUCAAUCAGGGCGGUCACAACAACCAGAAUAAUCAGAACGGCCAGCAGCAGCAGCAGCAGUCGGGUUAUUAGAGCCAGCCAAAACAGUUGAACAAUGGGCAAUAUCAUGUUUUCACAACUAGCUUGGAUAAACGCGACCGGAAGCUCCACAAGCGAGCAGUGAACUCUGUUGAACCGGCCCUACCAUGCUACUUACGCUGGUCGGAGCAGCCUAUCCUGUGGAGCAGGGAGGACCUCCCACCCCGGGUUGAUAAUCCGGGCCAGCUAGCAUUAGUGGUAGACCCUCAGGUGGGAGGUUAUAAAUUCACCAAGGUACUCAUGGAUGGAGGGAGCAGUAUUAACAUACUAUACUAUGAGACAUUCCGCCGCAUGGGACUAACAGACAAAGAUCUCAGACCAUCUAAUUGGUGUUCCAUGGUGUGGUGCCUGGCAAAUCUGCAUAUCAUGUUGGUAAGAUAGCCCUGGAUGUGGCUUUUGGGGACGAGCACGAUUCCCGAUCCGAAAAACUAACCUUUGAGGUGGUGAAGAUCCGGAGCCCGUAUCACGCCUUGUUUGGGCGGCCGGCUUAUGCCAAAUUCAUGGCGCGGCCUUGUUAUAUCUAUCUGCAGCUCAAGAUGCCGGGUUACAAGGGGACAAUAACGGUUCACGGAAUCGUAAGGUUGCUUUGGAAUGUGAGGAAGGUGAUGCGGCUUAUGCAGAGUCGGUCUGUGCCACGGAAGAGUUGAAAUAUUAUAAGGACAAUGUUGAUCCAGCGGACAUGACUCCUUUGAAGAAGCCAACCAUAGAGCAUGAUUCGGAUCUGAAGUUCAAAUCGGCAGCUGAGACCAAGCUUGUUGACUUUGUGCCCGGCGAUUCAUCCAAGCAGUUCACUGUCAGUGCCAACUUGGACCCUAAAUAGGAAAGCGCGCUCAUCGAGUUCAUCCGUGAGAAUCGGGACAUUUUUGCAUGGAAACCUUCUGACAUGCCAGGUGUACCGAGGGAACUCGCUGAGCACACUCUUAAUGUGGAUCCUAAGUAUAAACCGGUAAAGCAAUUUCUCCGCCAGUUUAACGAAGAGAGGCGCAAAGCCAUUGGAGAGGAAGUGGCCAGGCUCUUAGCAGCUGGUUUCAUCAUUGAGGUGUUCCAUCCAGAGUGGCUUGCUAAUCCGGUGUUGGUUCUUAAGAAGAACGGCACUUGGCGUAUGUGUGUGGAUUACACGGAUCUUAACAGGGCUUGUCCAGCAGAUCCUUUUGCCCUCCCCCGCAUUGACCAGAUCAUUGAUGCCACGGCAGGUUGUGAGCGUUUGAGCUUUGUGGAUGCGUAUUCUGGAUAUCAUCAGAUCAAAAUGGCGGUUAAGGACCAGGAGAAGACAGCGUUUAUUACGCCUUUUGGAGCCUUCUGCUAUGUAUCUAUGCCCUUUGGGCUCAAGAGUGCCCAAGCCACUUAUCAGCGGUGUGUACAGAAUUGCCUGCAUAAACAGAUCGGUCGCAAUGUGCACGCCUAUGUGGAUGAUACUGUGGUCAAGUCAAGGCAGAAGGAGACGCUGGUGGAUGAUUUGAAGGAAACCUUUGACAACUUGCGGGUUUACAAGAUGAUGCUUAACCCGGCCAAGUGUGUCUUUGGUGUUCCGGCAGGCAAGUUACUGGGUUUUCUUGUGUCCAACAGAGGAAUUGAGGCUAAUCCGGAGAAGAUUACGGCUAUCACCUCCCUGGCUAAACAGAAGUGUAUCAAUGAUGUUCAGCGUUUGGCGGGCCGGAUCGCCGCACUGAGCCGGUUUAUCAGCCGCCUUGGAGAGAAGGCUAUUCCUUUGUACCAGAUGCUGAGAAAGACAGAUCAAUUCAUCUAGAGUACGGCUGCUGAUGAAGCAUUGGAGGACUUGAAGCGGCAAUUAGCCCAUCCGCCCGUUCUUGCGGCUCCGGUCGACAAGGAGCCGUUAUUAUUAUACGUAGCGGCCAAUGCUCGGGCAGUUAGUGUGGCUAUUGUGGUGGAGCGCAAGGAGGCAGGCAAGGAAUAUCCGGUUCAGCGGCCGGUGUAUUAUAUCAGCGAGGUGCUUAUUGAAUCCAAGCAAAGGUAUCCGCAUUGGCAGAAGCUGGUAUAUGGAGUUUUCAUGGCAAGCCGGAAGUUGAAGCAGUAUUUUCAAGGGCAUCCCAUCACAGUGGUCAGUUCAGCUCCCUUGGGCGAUAUCAUACAGAACCGGGGGGCGACUGGCCGGAUUGCCAAGUGGGCUAUAGAGCUUGGGCCACACGGAUUGAAGUACGUGCCUCGGACGGCGGUGAAGUCUCAAGCGCUUGUUGAUUUCAUCAAUGAUUGGAUGGAGUUGCAAGCACCAGAGGAGAAGCCGGAUCACACAUAUUGGACUAUUCAUUUUGAUGGAUCCAGGCAAUUGGAAGGCUCGGGGGCUGGAGUCGUAUUAACUUCCCCACGAGGUGAUAAGUUUUGUUAUGUUCUCCGCUUAAUGUUCCCUUGUACUAAUAAUGCAGCUGAGUACGAAGCCUUGCUCCACGGUCUCCGGAUGGCUAAGGAGAUGAACUUAAGCCGAGUUAAGUGCUCCGGUGACUCGGACCUCGUAGCUCAACAAGUGUCUGGCACUUGGGAUUCUAAGGACCCGCUCAUGGCCGCCUAUCGUCGUGAAGUGGAUAAUAUUGCGGGUCACUUCAAGGGUUAUCAAGUGGAUCACGUGGACCGUCAAAAGAAUGAAGCGGCGGACGCUUUAAGCCGUUUGGGCUCUCAGCGCAAACCGGUCCCGCCUAAUGUCUUUCUUGAUGUGUUGCACAACCCGUCAGUCAAGCUCCCAGGUGAAGCGGAUUUGGCUAUUCCUGAUCCGGAGGCCCAAUUGGUGGCAGCUCUGCAUGUCAUUCCGGAUUGGACCUUAUCUUGCGUACAUGAACCGGGGGGAGUUGCCGGAGGAUGAGAUUCUAGCCAGGCAGAUAGUCCGGCGAUCCAAGUCUAUGACGAUUGUCAAUGGUGAAUUGCAUCAUUGCAGUGUAUCAGGGGCGUUUCAACGUUGUGUUUCUCCUGAGGAAGGCUGUGAAAUCUUAAGAGAAAUCCAUGAAGGGGAUUGUGGACACCACGCCGGUUCAAAGUCUCUGGUGGCAAAGGCAUUUCGUCACGGGUUCUACUGGUUGACAGCACAUGCUGAUGCGGAGGACUUGGUUAAACAAUGUGAUGGCUGUCAGAAAUUUUCAAGGCGUGCUCAUGUGCCGGCUCAAGAAUUGAGGAUGAUCCCAAUCACUUGGCCGUUUGCAACUUGGGGGCUGGAUAUGGUCGGACCUUUUAAAAGAUCCAAGGAUAAGAAAACCCACCUUUUAGUGGCAGUUGACAAAUUUACCAAGUGGGUUGAAGCGGAGCCUGUCAGCAAGUGUGAUGCAGCAACAGCGGUGCAGUUCAUCAAAAAGGUGAUUUUCCGAUUUGGCUUUCCACACAGUAUCAUUACUGACAAUGGUACCAAUUUGUCCAAGGGCGCUAUGAAGGAGUUCUGUGAACGUGAGCACAUCCGACUUGACGUAUCGUCAGUGGCUCACCCCCAGUCCAAUGGACAGGCAGAACGGGCUAAUCAAGAGAUCUUGCGAGGCAUCAAACCCCGGCUUAUGGUUCCAUUGCAAAGAACACCAGGAUGUUGGGUUGAAGAGCUACCAUCUGUGCUAUGGAGUAUCAAUACUACGCCCAAUCGAUCCACAUGAUACACGCCGUUUUUAUGGUCUACGGAGCGGAGGCAGUUCUCCCUAGUGAUAUCCGGCACGAUUCGCCUCGUGUGGCAGCUUAUGUUGAAGCGGACAAUGAGACAGCACGGCAAGACGCUUUGGACCUAUUGGACGAGGAGCGUGAUAUAGCGGCUGCCCGCUCGGCGAUUUAUCAGCAAGAUCUUCGUUGCUAUCACAGUCGCCGGGUUAGAACCAGAACUUUUCAAGAAGGAGACUUGGUGCUGCGACUCAUCCAAGACCAGACAGAUAUGCACAAGUUAUCCCCACCUUGGGAGGGGCCUUUCGUGGUCAGCAAGAAUCUGCACAACGGCUCAUAUUAUCUGAUUGAUAUUCGAGAGCAUAAAGACUCACGCACAUCAGAGGAGGAGACCAACAGGCCGUGGAACAUAGCUCAUCUUCGGCCUUACUACACAUGAGCCAUUGGCUCUAUCUAUGUACAUAUUAUGACAGUGUAUAUAUUAUCUUUGAUAUAAUAAAACUGGAGCCUCAGCUAAAGCGGGGUCUCUGUCCUUUCUUAUCAUGCGUGGUUACAUGGAGUGGUUCUAUUUUAAAGCGGCCUCCGGUUUACCCCUUGAAAUUUGCUUUUUUAUAUCACUUGGGGCCUUGGUCGUGUCCGAACCAACACAACACCUUUUGAUAGGCGAAAGCCACCAGAUCACUUGGGGACAUGGUCAAGUCUGAACCAGUCACGCCUCUUGAUCGGCCUAAGGCCACAAAAUCACUUAGGGGCUUGGUCGAACCCGAACCAUUGCCACGCCUUUUGAUUGGCAUAUAUGCCAUGGUUUCAUUUGGGGACCUGGCUGACUUGAACCAUUGUCACUCCUAUUGGGGGCUUGGUCCUGUCCGACCAUGGUAACACCAUAUGAUCAGCUCAGUAUAGCAUCUCUUUUGCAAACGGUUUUUAUCAUUGCCUUUGUUUCCAUAUUUCUUUUAUGGCUAUUUCUUAAUUUUCGUUGUGUUUCCUUUAAACCAACAACAUUUUUCGCUGGUUCAGCUGAUGGAUUCGGUUCAUUUUUAAUCCGGAGCAAUAUGCCCGGUUUACCCUUCCUGUUAACAUCAUGGAGUAACAGGGGGGCUUAUAACGACCCAGCACGGUCUAUAUGGGAGCUGCUUUCUCCCCCUUUGACGGUAAUGGUUUAUUAAACCUCCGCUUUAAGCAUGGUUAAGCCAGCUUUCAUGCCCAGUUAUGGCAGGUACUUUGUAUCGCCUAUUUUGUUAUAUGUUUUGAAUACAUUGCUGAUAUGUAUAUAUCCAGAUCAUAAACCGGCUGGCGGUAUAACCGCCACCGAAGUCCAAGUUUUUCUGAUUGCAGGCAAUAAAAAUUGAGGUUUUUCAAGCAAAAGCGUCAGUACUUAUGCGCGAAGGCAUAUUCAAGGCAGAAGUAUUAACUAUCCUAUUACAAGGCAACACGGUGCCCAAAUAAGAUCAUUGUUAUUUCGGAAGGCUGCCAAAUACAGCUAUCUAAACCGGCCUCCGGUUCAAGCCUGCUCCUCGUCCUGUGCCGCUUCAGCUUCCUCGUCUCUAUCCAUUGGCUGGAAAUCAACAGUGGUCCAGUCGAUUCCCAUUAAAGCUUGGAAAAUAGCCUCUUCAUGGAUUAGAAGACGGUUCAAUAUCAGGAGCAUAAGUAUGCUUACGGAUUGGAGGAAUCAGAUUCUCCGCUUCAAGAGUUGGGGCAGGCACUCGCUUGUUCUGAUCGUUGUAUUGCGCUUGAUAAUGCGUCAAGUCUGCCUCUUCAACUAAUUGACAAGCCAGAGGGCGCACUGCACGGUUUAUUGCCCUCAAAUCAUCUUCACUGAACUCGGAGCCGUCUUCCUUCAGGCUGGGAUAGCCUUGGGCUGCCUCCACAGGAUCGAAAUCUGGCACCCAUGCCUUUGCCCGGAUCAAGGCGUUAAUGGCUCCGGUUCGAGCAACAGAUUUUUUCAGCUCUUCAAUCCGGGCAGGAAGCAUUGACAACCUAUUAGGAAUAUCCUGAAUUAUAGAGGGUGCUGGAUUGUUAUGAGAAGCUGUGGUGAUAAUCCGCUGCGCGUAUACAAUUGUUCCACUAACGUGUAGGCAGCCUUCAGCUUCUUUCGCACAUCUGACCCUAAGUGCCCAAUGCGUGUACCUGUAACAAUGCAGGGCCAGUCUCAAACCGGAUUUAUUAUAAGCAGGACAGAAUUGUCAAGAAAGCCAAAAAGAGCUUACCAAAGAUAGCAGCGGUCAUGGAGUGUAUUUGCCGUUUUACGGCAGUUAGCUCAUCUACCACCGGUUUAAGGGCAGCUUCAGCAUUUUCCACUCUUUUUAUUAAAGCGGCCUUUUUAGUGGCCCAAUCAGCCCGCUCCUUCUUGAAGCCCUCUUUCAGCUGCUCUGUGAUGCUCAACGCGCUGGUCAAUUCCUCCCUUGCUUUAUCAGUUUCGGUUUGUUGGGUCUUCAGAGUUUCUUGCAGAUCAGUAAUCCGGUCCUCUUUGACCCUCACUUCAGCCUGCAUAAAGACAGUAUUUGGCUUUAAACACAGCGGUACAAGAAUUUGAAGUAUCAAUCACAUAACAAGUUAUACGCUUGAUACUUGGGGGCUAAUGUACCUUCAAUUUUCAUCUAUCACUAAUUUUCAAAGUCCCAAGCUCAAUACAGGUAUUCAACUUGGCACUUGGGGGCUAAUGGCUAUUUGCUCAAUUAUGUUCUGAUGUGGCAAUCUUUAUUCGAGACCCGGUUUAACUAUGCUAAUUUGAACCGGCCCUUGGGGGCUAUAUUGACUGAUUUCAAAGUACUGAGGAUUGUGUUCAAGUCCCGGUUUGAAGAAGGUUACAAACCGGCCCUUGGGGGCAAGGAGGAUUAAUAGUGGCAGUAAGUAAAGAAAGAAGAAGCACAAGGUAGUUACCUCAAAUUUGUCUCUCAUCAUCUUUACCAGGCCAGCUUCACAAUCACGGCUAGUAUAUAACCGGUUCAAGUAACUAGAAUGCAGAUCUUGGGCACUCAGAGCAGCAUAUGUUUCUAGUUCUACAUCCCAUUUGCCUUUGUUCUUGGCAGAAAAAUCCUCUUUCACUGUAUGCUUGGUUAAAGCAACAGGAUUCCGUGGUUCAAAGCGACCUACGCCAGUAAUUACAACAUCAUCAUCCUUAGAUUCACCGGUUUGCGUUGGUGCGGUCGGGUUAUCAGCAGGACUGCGGGAUUUUUCAAUCCGGACGGAGCUGGCAGGCGGAUCAGCAGAAACUGAGGUAUGGAUAGGCCUUUCCUCUGGAAUAGCAUCGUCUUGCAAAGGAGGAUCAUUGGGAAUAUCCUCAUGAGCAAACGCUUCAAGAUCUGGCGCUUUAUCCUGUUCUGGGGCGACAUCUUCUUCAGCAGCUUUGUCCAGGCGGGCCUUCUUGCUCGGUUUAGGUUUAGCCCUGAAAGGAAAAUAAAGAGUCAAGGAACAGUAUAAGUUAUUACACGGUAUACCGGAAGCAUAUGUUCAGCCUAGCUUACCCAAGAACCGUUUUCAGUGGCGGCAGCUGAGUGGCGGACGAUUCACCAGAGGAUGAAUGUGAAGUAACCUGAUAAUCGGAGUCGGACGGAUUAAGAGGCUGACGGAAGAAACCCGCUUUAGGAUAUAAAUCAAUAAAAAGGUCGGAGACAUCGGAGCGGCGUUUUCAAACCGGACUGUUUGGUAAACUGGUGGAGGUAACUACCUGGCCACUGUGCUGGGUUGUGCGGCGAGCUUCAUGUUGCUGAGUCUUCAUAAGAAAUUUGGGAUCCAAGUAAGCAAGAGGAUGAGAAAAUUUAACUUUCCGGUUUGCCUGGCGAAAUUUUGGCAAUGGCAAGAUUUCUGAAUCGGAAGAGAGAAUAGUUACCUCAGCGACUUCAGCAUUGCUGGCUUCAGCAUCGUCCUGACAAGCAUCAUCAUCAAUAAGGCGUGUAAAAAGUAAGCCUAGUGAAUCAAGUUCUACCUCAAGGUCCGGGUUACCCACAUCAUCAUCAAUAGCUGGAUCAGAGGAAGCGGUGGUUUUCCUCUUGUGAGCUGGUUUCUUGAUAACCUUGGUCUUGGGCCGGGUUGACCGCCCUGCUUUCUCUGUUUUGUCUUGUGGAAGCUUCUUGCUCCAAAACGGAUUAUCACCCUGGUUCAGCAGUAAUUAAUGUCAGAAGGAGAAAGCAGUAACAAGUUCAAUAACAGAAUAAUCAAAAUCUUACAGCUGGCGGUUUGUUGGUGGCGCAGUAAGGAAGCAGACCAGUUUGAGCGCAGAGGUGCUCCGGUUCAUUCAACAUCUUCUUCACAGAAUCUGUGACUUCAUCAUCAGAGAGUUGGAUUUUAGUGUGUCGGAGUGGGUCAUCGACACUAUCAGUAUACUUGCACAUCAAACCGGAGCGCCGGCUGAGAGGCAGUAUGCUCCAUGAUAUCCAACAGCGUGCAAGGUCUAUUCCUGUUAAACCGUUGGCCAUAAAGGCUCGGAGCUUGGACAGUUGUGGAGCAUAUUUACUUCUUUCCUUGGCACUUAGUCUUUGUGGAAAGGGGUGAGUGUUGCUGAGCCGCUCCGGAUGGAAGCCAGGCAAGGGAUUUUCAUUGUCAGGGGAGGUGUCUUUGCAAUAAAACCAGGUUGCGUUCCACUCCUUGGGGUGAGUGUGUAGUUUGACGUGGGGAUAAGUGAUCUCUUUCCUCUUCUGAAUGGCCAUACCGCCCAAUUCAGUAUUGGGGCCAUCAGUAAAUUCAGUGCGACGGUUUAAAUGGAAGCAGUCUCUAAACAACUCGACUGAAGGCUCCUCUUGAAGGUAUACCUCAGAGAGCACUUGAAAGUGACAUAGAUUGGUAACGGAAUUGGGGCCAAUAUCCUGUGGACGGAGCUGAAAAUUGGCUAACACAUCGCGGUAAAAUUUAGAACCAGGCGGUUUGAAGCCCCGGGCCAAGUGAUCUGCAAAGACCACAACUUCUCCCUCUUGAGGUGUGGGAGGACAUUCAUUUCCAGGAACCCUCCAGUGGAUCGUAUCUUUGUUGUCUAAAGCGCCGAUCAGGACCAAAUCAUCCAACUGAGAUUCCGUUACGCGAGAAGGAACCCAAUUGCACUCAUAUACUUGUUUGGCCAUGGUGAGAUCUACAAGAAAUAGGUGAUUCCGGUUCAAGAAUGUGUUGGAUAAAAGAAGGUGCUGGUCUGAACAACGCUAAGCCGGAGGCAGUACAUAUAAACCAGAUUUCUACGAUGCGGCAUCAUAUGGAUUCUGGCGGUUCAACAAGGGGACAAAUGGUAUAUACCGGUUUACUAACUUUUUCUAUGUUAAGUUAAACCGCCUGAUCUAAACGUCGAAAGCAAUCGAAGUUGUGGAUGGCUAAGUAUGCAAAAACAGGUUUCACAAGAUCCUAUUACAGCAGUGGAUCUACAGCAAGCUCAGAAAAACAGAAAAUAUUCAGAAGAGUGAGGCAGAACGGAAGUGAACCAUUGAGCGGAUAUGUACGUGAGAUCUAUGGACUUAGAUGAGAAAUUACAGGCGGAUGCUAAAAGAUUACUACUAAACAGAGCAGGGGUUCACAGAUUUAUUCAAGAGUUAGGGUACGAGUAUGAGCAAGCGACGAACACAGCGCGAACAUGAAACCCUAAGAACAGAUCUAGAUCAAGAAGAUAAGAAGGCUUACCGGAAACGGAGAAGACGCGGAAGGAUACCGCAGUACUCUGGUGCGUUCAGGUUGAUGCAGCGGCCCAAGACGAGGCAGAGGUCGACGGCGGCGGCGGAGCUCCAAGGCUGGCGACGCGAGGAAGACGAAGAAGAAGAGACGAAGGGAAGAAAAGGAAAUGACCCUUCGGUCUUAUUUAUAAGGCAACAGAGUUAGGUCAGGCACGCGAAUCCAGGAGCUAUUGAUAAAGGAGGGCGUCAUAAAUGAUAAACUUCAUGAUGACGUCAUGCCGGUUUACAGCAACCAGAAAUGAUGACGACAUGGCGGUUUACCAAUUACCAGAAGAUGUCCAAGACACAAGAUUUUGGGAAGGAUUGACAUGAACCGGUUCAAAUCAAUCUGGGGCCUAAUGUUGGGGAUAUUACCACUAGGCGUAAACCGGCCUACUUGGGUCGGGUUAACUUCAUUAGUGGUAUAAGCAGAUGAAGGCCCAAGGCCUGUAGUCGAUUUAGAACCUGUAGCCGUAAACCGGCCUAAUGUAUAACUUGUAUUGUAAGUUAGGAAUAGAGAGAUACCAACCGGGAUACGAGUAUGAACCGGUUGGGACUCUAAGGACCAAUGGGCAUCACCCGUAUAUAUAUAAGGGAAUGACCCGGCGGCGGUUCAAGACAGACAACGACAACUCGAGCCUAGGCGAAGCUUGUUUGCUCCCUAGCCAUCGAGACCACAUCAAUUCCAUCACAACUAGACGUAGGCUUUUACCUUCAUCGAAGGGGCCAAACUAGUAUAAACCCUCGUGUCUUUGUGUCCGCUUUAACCCCUUCAAGUUAACCCGUAGUGAUGGCUCCACGACUAAGUCCUUUCACUAGGACAUCUGCCGUGACAAAUCCACGACAGUUAGGCUAUGCUAUUUUCGUCACACAAAGAUGUUCCCAACUUCUAUACCCCCGAUGACAAGCCAAGCAAUUGUUUCAUACUCAAAAUAAUCUCAAACUUUUUCAACCUUCACACAAUACAUGAGCGCGAGCCAUGGAUAUAGCACUAUGGGUGGAAUAGAAUAUGAUGAUGGGGAUUGUGUGGAGAAGACAAAAAAGGAGAAAGUCUCAUAUUGACGAGGCUAAUCAAUGGGCUAUGGAGAUUCCCAUCAAUUGAUGUAAACAUGAGGAGUAGGGAUUGCCAUGGAACGGAUGCACUAGAGCUAAAAGUAUGUGAAAGCUCUACAAAAGAAACUAAGUGGGUGUGCAUCCAACUUGCUUGCUCACGAAGACCUAGGGCAUUUUGAGGAAGCCCAUCAUUGGAAUAUACAAGCCAAGUUCUAUAAUGAAAAAUUCCCACUAGUAUAUGAAAGUGACAAAAUGAGAGACUCUUUAUCAUGAAGAUCUUGGUGCUACUUUGAAGCACAAGUGUGGUAAAAGGAUAGUAGCAUUGUCCCUUCUCUCUUUUUCUCUCAUUUUUCUCUCUUUUUUUCUUUUGGGCCUUUCUCCUUUUUUUGGCCUUGCUUUUUUUCUUUUCUUUUUUUAUUUUUUUUCGUCCGAAGUCUCAUCCCGACUUAUGGGGGAAUCAUAGUCUCCAUCAUCAUUUUCUCACUUGGGACAAUGCUCUAAUAAUGAUGAUCAUCACACUUUUAUAUUUUUCUUACAACUCAACAAUUACAACUCGAAACUUAGAACAAAAUAUGACUCUAUAUGAAUGCCUCCGGCUGUGUACCGGGAUGGUGCAAUGAAUCAAGAGUGACAUGUAUGGAAAAUAAUGCAUGGUGGCUUUGCCACAAAUACGAUGUCAACUACAUGAUUAUGCAAUGGCAAUAUGACAAAAGUAAUGUAUGACAUAAUAAUGAUGAUGGAAGUUGCAUGACAAUAUAUCUCGGAAUGUCUAUGGAAAUGCCAUGAUAGGUAGGUAUGGUGGUUGUUUUGAGGAAGAUAUAAGGAGGUUUAUGUGUGAUAGAGCGUAUCGUAUCACGAGGUUUACAUGCACCGGCGAAGUUUGCACCAACUCUCAAGGUGAGAAAGGGCAAUGCACGGUACCGAAGAGGCUAGCCAAGGUGGAAAUGUUAGAGUGCGUAUAAUCCAUGGACUCAACAUUAGUCAAAAGAACGCAUAUACUUAUUGCAAAAAUUUAGAAGCCAUCAAAAAUCAAGUACUACGCGCAUGCUCCUAGGGGGAUAGAUUGGUAGGAAAAGACCAUCGCUCGUCCCCGACCGCCACUCAUAAGGAUGCACAAGCCAGGUACACUUCAUGUUUCAAAUUUGUUACACAACUUUAACCAUACGUGCAUGCUACGGGACUUGCAAACUUCAACACAAGUAUUUAUCAAAUUCACAAUUAUCAACUAGCACGACUUUGAUAUUAUCACCUCCAUAUCUCAAAACAAUUAUCAAGCAUCAAACUUAUCUUAGUAUUCAAUUCACUCAAAAGAAAGUUUCACAUAUCUUGAACACUAAGUAUAUUAACAUUAAGCAAAUUACCAUGCUAUUAACGACUCUCAAAAUAAUAUAAGUGAAGCAUGAGAGAUCAAUAGUUUCUUUAAAACAAAUCCACCACUGUGCUCUAAAAGAUAUAAGUGAAGCACUAGAGCAAAAAUUAUCACACUCAAAAGAUAUAAGUGAAGCACUAUGAGCAAAACUAUCAAGCUCAAAAGAUAUAAGUGAAGCACAUAGAGUAUUCUAACAAAUUCCAAAUCAUGUAUGGCUCUCUCAAAAGAUGUGUACAGCAAGGAUGAUUGUGGUAAACUAACAAGCGAAGACACAAAUAAUACAAGACGCUCCAAGAAAAACACAUAUCAUGUGGUGAAUAAAAAUAUAGCUCCAAGUAAAUUACCGAUGGAAGUGGACGAAAGAGGGGAUGCCUUCCGGGGCAUCCCCAAGCUUUGAAUUUUUGAUGUCCUUGGAUUAUCUUGGGGGUGCCAUGGGCAUCCCCAAUCUUAGGCUCUUGCCACUCCUUAUUCCAUAAUCCAUCAAAAGAAUUCACACAAAACUUGAAAACUUCACAACACAAAACUCAACAGAAAUCUCGUGAGCUCCGUUAGAGAAAGAAAACAAAAGACUACUUCAAGUUACUGUAAUGAACUCAUUAUUUAUUUAUAUUGGUGUUAAACCUACUGUAUUCCAACUUCUCUAUGGAUUAUAAACUAUUUUACUAGCCAUAGAUUCAUCAAAAUAAGCAAACAACACACGAAAAACAGAAUCUGUCAAAAAUAGAACAGUCUCUAGCAAUCUGUAACUAACGCAAACUUCUGGAACUCUAAAAUUCUACCAAAAUAGGAGGUCCUGGAAAAUUUGUUUAUUUAACAUCAGCAAAAAUAAUCAACGCAAAAUCACGUUCCUGUGAUUUAACAAAAUUAUAUUCGUGCGCGCAAAGUUUCUGUUUUUCAGCAGAAUCAAAUCAACUAUCAUCGUAGGUUAUCCUAUAGGUGCUACUUGGCACAAACACUAAUUAAAAGAUAAAACCACAUCUAACAGAAGUUAGAUGGAUUAUUUAUUCCUAAACAGAAUAAAAACAAAAAACACAAAAUAAAAUUGGUUUGCCUCCCAACAAGCGCUAUCGUUUAACGCCCCUAGCUAGGCAUAAAAACAAGGAUAGAUCUAGGUAUUGCCAUCUUUGGUAGGCAAUCCAUAAGUGGCUCUCAUGAUAGAUUCAUAUGGUAAUUUUAUUUUCUUUCUAGGGAAGUGUUCCAUGCCCUUCUUUAAGGGAAAUUGGAAUCGAAUAUUCCCUUCCUUCAUAUCAAUAAUUGCACCAAUUGUUCUAAGGAAAGGUCUACCAAGAAUAAUAGGACAUGAAGGAUUGCAAUCUAUAUCAAGAACGAUAAAAUCUACGGGCACAUAAUUCCUAUUUGCAACAAUAAGAACAUCAUUAAUUCUUCCCAUAGGUUUUUUAAUAGUGGAAUCCGCAAGAUGCAAGUUUAGAGAGCAAUCAUCAAAAUCAUGGAAAUCUAGCAAAUCACAUAAAGUUUUGGGAAUAGUAGAGACACUAGCACCCAAAUCACACAAAGCAUGAAACUCAUAAUCUUUAAUUUUAAUUUUAGUAGUAGGUUCCCACUCAUCAUAGAGUUUUCUAGGGAUUGAAACUUUCAACUCAAGUUUCUCUUCGUAAGAUUGCAUCAAAGCAUCAACAAUGUGUUCGGUAAAGGCCUUAUUUUGACUAUAAGCAUGAGGAGAAUCUAGCACGGAUUGCAACAAGGAAAUACAACCAAUCAAAGAGCAAUUUUCAUAAUUAAAUUCCUUGAGAUCCAAAAUAGUGGGUUUAGCAACAUCACGGUUUUUAUUUAUUUCAAUCCCACUAUCAUCAAAUUCAUCAUCAAGAUCUAGAAACUCCGAAUUCUUAAAACGCCUUCUAGGUAAAGGAAAAUAAUCUUCAGUUUCAUCAAGAUUCAUAUUGCAAAACAAAGAUUUAAUGGGGGACACAUCAAUAACUUUUAGAUUUUCAUCCUGAUUUUCAUAGGAAUUCGAAGAACACGCUUUAAUAAAGGCAUCUUUGGAAGCAUGCAUCCUAGCGGUUCUUUCCUUGCACUCAUCAAUGGAAAUUCUCAUGGCUUGGAGAGACUCAUUGAUAUCAUGCUUAGGAGGAAUAGAUCUAAGCUUUAAAGAAUCAAUUUCAAGAGAAAUUCUAUCAACGUUCCUAGUCAAAUCAUCAACUUUAAGCAAUUUCUCUUCAAGCAAAGCAUUAAAAUUCUUUUGUGAAUUCAUAAACUAUUUAACACUACUCUCAAAUUCAGAGGGAAUCUUAUUAAAAUUUCCAUAAGAUUUGUUGUAGGAAUUUCCAUAAUUAUUAGAAGGAUUACUAGUAUAAGGCCUAGGAUUAAAAUUCCCUCUAUAAGCAUUGUUUCCAAAACUAUUCCUACCAACAAAAUUCACAUCCGUAGAUUCAUUAUUAUUCUCAAGCAAGGUAGACAAAGGCAUAUCAUAGGGAUCAAGAGGAGUAUUUUUAGGAGCAAACAUCUUCAUAAGUUCAUCCAUCUUUUCACUCAAAACAUUGAUUUCUUCUAUAGCAUGCACUUUUUUACUAGAAGAUCUUUCGGUGUGCCAUUGAGAAUAAUUAGACAUAAUAUUAUCAAGCAAUUUGGUAGCAUCUCCUAACGUAAUUUCCAUAAAAGUGCCUCCCGUGGCCGAAUCUAAAAGAUUUCUAGAAGCAAAAUUCAAUCCGGCAUAAAAUUUUUGUAUAAUCAUCCAUAAAUUCAAACCAUGAGUAGGGCAAUUGCGAAGCAUUAAUUUCAUUCUUUCCCAAGAUUGGGCAACAUGCUCAUGAUCAAGUUGUUUAAAAUUCAUGAUGUCGUUCCUAAGAGUGAUAAUCUUAGCGGGAGGAAAAUACUUAGAGAUAAAAGCAUCUUUGCACUUGUUCCAAGAAUCAAUACUAUUUUUAGGCAAAGACGAAAACCAAACUUUAGCACAAUCUCUAAGUGAAAACGGAAAUAACUUCAAUUUGACAAUAUUGUUAUCCGUAUCUUUCUUCUUUUGCAUAUCACAUAAAUCAACUAAAUUGUUUAGACGAGUAGCGGCAUCUUCACUAGGAAGGCCGACGAAUUGAUCUUUCAUAACAAGAUUCAGCAAAGCGGUAUUGAUUUCACAAGACUCAUCAUUAUUAAGAGGAGCAAUCGGAGUACUAAGGAAAUCAUUAUUAUUGGUAUUCAAGAAAUCACACAAUUUGGUAUUAUCUUGCGCCAUGGCAACAAGUAAUCCAACACACAAGCAAACAGAAAGGCAACGAGAAAAAGGCAAACGGAAAAGAGAGGAUGAGAUUGGGAAAGAGAGGGCAAAUAAAACGGCAAGGGUGAAGUGGGGGAGAGGAAAACGAGAGGCAAAUGGCAAAUAAUGUAAUGCGAGAGAUAGGGAUUGCGAUGGGUACUUGGUAUAGUUGACUUGCUUGCGUGAGCCUCCCCGGCAACGGCGCCAGAAAUUCUUCUUGCUACCUCUUGAGCACUGCGUUGGAUUUCCCCAAAGAGGAGAGGAUGAUGCAGCAAAGUAGCAUAAGUAUUUCCCUCAGUUUUUGAGAACCAAGGUAUCAAUCCAGUAGGACACCACGCACAAGUCCCUCGUACCUACACAAAACGAUAGCAACUCGCAACCAAUGCGACUAGGGGUUGUCAAUCCCUUCUCGGUCACUUACGAAAGUGAGAUCUGAUAGAGAUGAUAAAUAAUAUUUUUGGUAUUUUUGAUAGAUAGAUGCAAAGUAAAAAAGUAAAAGGCAAAGUAAAAACAAGGCAAGUAAAUGAAGUGACAGAGAUUGAUAUGAUGAGAAUAGACCCGGGGGCCAUAGGUUUCACUAGUGGCUUCUCUCAAGAGCAUAGAUUUCCUACGGUGGGUGAACAAAUUACUGUUGAGCAAUUGACAUAAUUGAGCAUAGUUAUGAGUAUAUCUAGGCAAUGAUCAUGUAUAUAGGCAUCACGUCCAAAACAAGUAGAUCAAAACGAUUCUGCAUCUACUACGAUUACUCCACUCAUCGACCGCUAUCCAUCAUGCAUCUAGAGUAUUAAGUUAAAAACAGAGUAACGCCUUAAGCAAGAUGACAUGAUGUAGAGGGAUAAAUUCAUGCAAUAUGAUAAAAACCCCAUCUUGUUAUCCUUGAUGGCAACAAUAGAAUACGUGCCUUGCAACCCUUUCUGUCACUGGGUAAGGACACCGCAAGAUUGAACCCAAAGCUAAGCACUUCUCCCAUUGCAAGAACUACCAAUCUAGUUGGCCAAACCAAAAAGGAUAAUUCGAAGAGACUUGCAAAGAUAACUCAAUCAUACAUAAAAGAAUUCAGAGAAGAAUCAAAUAUUUUCCAUAGAUAAUACUGGAUCAUAAACCCACAAUUCAUCGGUCUCAACAAACACACCCCAAAAAGAAGAUUACAUCGAAUAGAUCUCCACGAGAGAGGGGGAGAACAUUGUAUUGAGAUCCAAAAAGAGAGAAGAAGCCAUCUAGCUACUAGCUAUGGACCCGAAGGUCUGAAGUAAACUACUCACACUUCAUCGGAGGGGCUAUGGUGAUGAUGUAGAAGCCCUCCGUGGUGGAUGCCCCCUCCGGCGGAGCUCCGGAACAGGCCCCAAGAUGGGAUCUCGUGGAUACAGAAGGUUGCGGCGGUGGAAUUAGGUUUUUUGCUCCUGUUCUGAUCGUUUGGGGAUACAUAGGUAUAUAUAGGAGGAAGGAGUACGUCGGUGGAGCGUCAGGGGGCCCACGAGGUAGGGGGCGCGCCCAGGGGGGCGCCCUCCACCCUCGUGGCGGCCUCUGGCACUGCUUGGAGUAGGGUCCAAGUCUCCUGGAUCACGUUCGGUUGGAAAAUCACAUUCCCGAAGGUUUCAUUCCGUUUGGACUCCGUUUGAUAUUCCGUUUCUUCGAAACACUGAAAUAGGCAAAAACAGCAAUUCUGGGUUGGGCCUCCGGUUAAUAGGUUAGUCCCAAAAGUAACAUAAAAGUGGAAAAUAAAGCCCAAUAUAGUCCAAAACAGUAGAUAAAGUAGCAUGGAGCAAUCAAAAAUUAUAGAUACGUUGGAGACGUAUCAACAACGCCUGCGACUUCAUCCACGCUCCGGUCCCAUGAGUCGAGUCGAAAGUAGUGAUGCUAUUUGUAGUUCUGAAACAUCGAUUAGCUCAUGUUGUAAUUAUACUUUAAUGAACUUGUAUGUCUCUUUGGUUUGGACAGCCGUUCAACUUAGAUGUAAUUGAUGCUAUUUAUUAGUAGGACCAUGAAUCAUGUUAUUAAUGUCUUGCUUUUCUCUUCUGAUCCUUUUGUUGCAUACUUAUAUGUUGCUUAUGUAUUGUCUGUUGUUUGGCUUGUGCAUAGAGAUGCCGUCAUAUGUCGUGUACAAGGGUAAGGUUCCCGGAAUCUACGACGACUGGGAGGAGUGUCAGAGACAGGUUCACCGUUUCAGUAGUAACAGUUACAAAGGGUACACCACUAGGGCGGAGGCGGAAUCUAAAUACGCCCGCUAUCUAGCGGGAGAGAGGAGGGAGCGUUGGAGGAACCGGAUGAAGACCAGUUUCAUCGGGAUGAUGCUCAUUGUGAUGACCGCAGCUCUCUUCUAUGUGAUGGUAGUUUAGAUGAUCGGUAUCGACUUGUAAUGUGAAGACAAACUCGCUACUCACGGUCUCCGAGACUUGUAAUGUUCUGUCUUUGUUCGGUCUUUUGAAUUUGGAGACUAAUAUGAUGAAUUGUAUUCGGAGACUAAUCUUCUAUUGUAUUCGAUGAAUCUGCUGUUGCUGUGUGGUGCUGUCUAUAUUCUGUCCAAUAAUACAUUUUGUAACCUGUGCAAAAAUCAGAAAAGUAAAAAAAAACUAAUAUUCAUACUAAUGGCGCAUCACCACAAAGUGUGCCAUUAGUAUGCCUAAGGAUACUAAUGGCGCAUCACCCUAUAGUGCGCCAUUAGUAUGCCAAAUGAUACUAAUGGCGCAUCAUACCACAGUGCACCAUUAGUAUGCCAAAGCACCUAGGUAAAUAUGGCCCCCUGGGAGGCAUACUAAUGGCACACCGUGGGCUAUACUAAUGGCGCACCUGUGGUGCGCCAUUAGUAUACCAGAUACUAAUGGCACACCACAGGUGCACAUUAGUAAAAAAUACUAGUGGCGCACCAGUAGUGCGCCAUUAGUAGGCAAAACUGGUGCGCCACUAGUAGCCCUUUUCCUAGUAGUGAUCCUUUAUCAAAAAGAAGAAUGGGUGAAAUUCUAGAAAGACAUUGUUAUCAAGGGCAAUGCGAUGAACAGAUAAGAGAGUUUUGGAAGCAUUAGGCACAUGCAAGAUAUCUUUUAUUUCAAGGUUUCUGUAUGGGGUUUUGAUAUAUGAUUGACCAAUAUGACUUAUCUCCAUACCUGCACCAUUUGCCGCGGUGUACACUUGAUCAUUGCCACAAUACUUCUCAUGAAUUGUUAGCUUCUCCAAUUCACCCUUGAUAUGAUUUGUUGCACCGGUAUCCAUAUACCAGUUGGUAUCGACACCGUAUGACGUAUCAGCUGCAGCAACGAUUUUUUUUUGGGAUGUAUCAUCGGCAUAACGCCAAUCACAGUCCUUAGCAAUAUGGUUAGUUUUUUUGCAGAUUUGACAUUUACCCUCGUAGCCUUCGUAGCCUUGGAAAUUUCGGACCCUGUUGCCGUUGGAGGGGGGGCGCCGGCCAUUGUUGUUGCUGCUGGGGUUCCCCUGGUGAUAGUAGCCGCCGCCACCAUGAUAGGAACUGCCACCGCCGCCGUAGUUGUUCUGGUGGUAGCCUCCAGCGCCACCGUUUGGGUAGCCGCCGCUGCCGCCGCCACCAUAGCCACCUCCAUCGUACCCGCCAGAGCCUCCACUUCCGAAUCCGCCACCGUUAGGGUGGCCACCGCCGCCAUAGCCAAGGCCACCACAAGGACCGCCACCGUUGCCCUUCUGGUUUGGGUUGCCGCGGUAGCCGCCCUUGUUACCUCAUUGUCGCCUGCCGCCGCGGGAGAUGGAUUUUGCAAAAGAUUUAAAGCCGCCGACUCCGUUGCCAUGGAACAUCUCGACCCUCUGGUGGAAGUUGGCCACAAGAGAGAAGAGGGCGUCGAUGGUGGUAGGCUCCGUGCGCACAUCCAGCACGGAGACAAUCGGUUGAUACUCCAUAUAGAGUACAGCAACGAUGAAGGAGAUGAGUUCUCCCUCCUCGAGCGGUCUACCCGCCGCCGCGAGCUCGUCGGAGAGAGACCUCAUGUACCUGAAGUAGGCUGAAGCCAACUGGGAUCCCUUCUGCGCGUUCGUGAGAGAGGCUCGGAUGUUGUUGACGCGAGAUAGGGACACAGCGGCAAACAUGUUCGCCAGUGCGUCCCAGAUUGCAUGUGAUGUCUCAAGGGAGGCGACUUGGAUGAGCACUUCUUUGGAUAGGUUUCGGAGAAGAUAGGCAACUAUUUGCUGAUCUUGAAUAAGCCAUGGGGAGUAGGAAGGAUUUGGGACAACCUGAUCCUUCCCAUCGGCGCUCUUGGUUGUGAUGGUUUUGGAGGGUUCUUGGAUAGUUUGAUCGAGAUAGCCAAAAAGGCCAGCGCCCAUGAUCUGUGAUCAGGCCUGGGCGUGCCAUAGGACAUAGUUGGUACGGGAAAGUGGUUCGGAGGUGUUGUUGUUCAGGCCGGAGAAGAUGGCCGAGCUAGAGGAGGACAUGGUUCCUGGGAUGAUCGGUGGAAGGUAGGUUCUGUCGAUGGAGGAUGGGUAGAAACGAGCUAGGGAUAGGUUUCUGUUGAUGGAGGAUAGAUGGGAACGAGCUAGACGAGGUGGAAGAGUCCUGCUCUGAAUACCAUGUAGAAUAAUGAUUGAAGCGUCUCAAUCACCGUAACAUGGUGACCCGCAUGUAUAUGUAUUGAUAUAACUUGGAGUACAAGAGUUCCGUAUGGUUACAAUUAACCAUACCGGAGAGAUAUACAAGGGAAGGAGAUAAGGAUAGAAUACAAAGAUAAGUUAACUAUCUCCUAACAAUGCCCUUGUAUAAUGCGCUGACGAUAAUAUUGGUUAACAUUGAUGAGCAUGCAACGAUAUUUGAUUUCGACAGUGAAUUGCAGCUUGCAAAGCUUCAGCAAGAUUUCUGACAUCUUAUCCUCGUAUUUUAAAAUUAUCAAAUCGAAUCUCAAUUAAGAACCAAUUCAAAUUCAUAUAAUAAAAGAAUAAGGAAACACUACCUCACCCCUAUUGAUAACCAUUUUGGCCACUACCGUCAAAACAAAUCCUAACCCUAGUUUGAGGAUAGAACUAUGGUAUGGUUUCUCUAAAGUAAAAACAAGACGUAAUAAAAAAGGAUCGACGCGGAAAGUUCCGAUUGAAAUAGGAUCUAAACAAGGAAGAGCACUUGCCAUUCGUUGGUUAUUAGAAGCAUCCCAAAAGCAUCUGGGUCGAAAUAUGGCUUUCAAAUUAAGUUCCGAAUUAGUAGAUGCUGCCAAAGGGAGUGGGGGUGCCAUACGCAAAAAGGAAGCGACUCAUAGAAUGGCAGAGGCAAAUAGAGCUCUUGCACAUUUUCGUUAAUCCAUGAACAGAAUCUAUGUACAUAAUAAAAUCCUGUUAAAAAAUAUUUGUUUGUUGACAAUUUAAAACAAACCUUCCAAGUACUUCAAGAACUUAAAUACUCUUUAGUAGAUGAAAAUAAAAGGAUUUCUAAUUUCGAUAGUAACAUAAUGUUAGAUCCAUUCCUUUUGAAUUGUCACUUUGUCCAUCAUGAUUCUUGGGAAGAGACAUUGGCAAUAAUUCACCUUGGACAAUUUAUUUGUGAAAAUGUAUGUCUAUUUAAAUCGCACAUAAAAAUCCGGUCAAAUUUUCAUUGUAAAUAUCAAAGAAAGGAUUCUUGUCUAUGAGUUCAUGCAAAAUAGUUCCUUGGACCAUUACAUAUCUGGUACAUUUUCCGUAUUAUCAGAGAUAUUUUUCAAGCACACCUCCCUUAAUUCCUAGUAAAUGUGCAUGAAUUCAAAACAUCUACAGUUAAAUGGAAGGCUACAACCGAUCUAGUUUUCACCUGAUUCUUUGUUGCUCGAAUCAUAAAAAAUAUUCUAGUUUGGUUUAGAGAAAUUCAUCAACAGUUGAUAGAAGUUGCAAUUUGAUUAUCUUUUGCAGACAGAACAAAAGGGCAAUUGCUAGACUGGUCUAAGCGAUUCAAGAUAAUUACAGGGUUAACAGAGGGCCUUGUUUACCUGCAUAAAGGUUCCAUGUCCUGCCUUGUCCAUAGAGACUUGAAACCACAUAAUAUCCUCUUGGAUUAUAACAUGAGCCCGAAGAUGACUGAUUUUGGAUCAGCUAGGACACUGAGUUCAGACAUAGCAGAAGGGCGCACAAGUAGGGUCGUGGGAACCUGGUAUCAGCUGCCUACAAUAUUAAUAAUCACAUAUUCCCAUCAUUUGUUUUCAGAUGUUCUAAUCUUACAGUUUUCUGGGAAAACAAUUAAGGGAAUACUGUGGUCAUACUGUCUUCUGGGUGGAAGACUAGUAGGAGGAGAAGACACCACAGCAUAUUUGUCCAACAAAGCUUGAAUCUCAGGUAACUGUUCUCUGUGUUCAGUAACUUCAGUCUAAAAAAUUGCCAUGACAGUGAAAGCACAUUCCUCUGGCAAUUCUCCUUGCAAUGUAACAGUAGGACCCUUACAUUGGAAAGAUAGGCACGCACGCCUAUCUUCUCUUCUCGAGAGGAUGAAAUCGAUUUGGCUAGAGUGUUGGCCACUACUAAAAGUCACCAAAUGUGAUUCUCUCUUUCUAAAGAGGGUGUUAGCUACAAUUAUCAGCUGCCUAGAAUAUUAAUAAUCACAUAUUCCCAUCAUUUGUUUUCAGAUGUUCUAAUCUUACAGUUUUGACAUCUUUUGUUUCACUUUUCAGUGGUUACAAAGCUCCAGAGUAUGCCUCUCGAGGAGUUUACUCGACGAAGACAGAUGUGUUCAGCUUUGGCGUUUUGGUUCUGGUGAUUAUUAGUGGCCAAAAGAAUACCGUACUCGACAAGCGAGUGGAUACUGUUGGUGAUCUUGUACGAGAUGUGAGUGAAAGUACAUUUCAAGCAACACCUUUUCCGUUCUCAAUAUUAGAAAAUGGACUUACUUUAAUUUUCAACUAAAGUAGUGAGUUUUAACCUAUACCAUUGCUUGACAACAGAAGUUGUGAACUUUUCAAAUAGGGCGUGUAAAAGCAAGGCUUAUUUUUUUUAUACCUGGCACACACUACAUGUAAGUUACCUUGCAUUUAUUUAAAAUCAAAUGUAUUAUAUAUUUCAGGCCUGUCAUAUGUGGAAGGACCAAAGGUUGCAUGAGCUUGUGGAUCCGUUGUUAGGGGACAGAUAUGAAGUCGCUGAGAUAACGAGAUGCGCUCAAGUGGCACUGCUUUGUGCCCAGGAAGAUCCAGCAGAUCGGCCCGCCAUGACAGAUGUUGCUGCAAUGCUGAACUCUGAAAGCAUAAGCUUACCAAUGGAGCCUAAGCAGCCUGCUGCGCUGAUCCAUGGGUGUGCCAACAGAGGCACGACAUCGACAUACAUGGGCCAAUCAAGCAGUACAAUAGAAGUAACCAUAACGAGUUCAGCUCCAAUGUAGACCAGAGUUCAAAUCAUUCUUGACCCGGAGGUUUGAUAUAAUGGAGAACAUUCAGUAGCAUAUAUACAGUAAAAAUGUAAGCGAGGAUUAUGGGCUUUUACGGCGCAGGUAGUGUACGUAUUCGAGAUAUCAAGACCAUUUUUGUGGAGUGAAAAUAAACAUGUGUGUGGUUGGUACCAGCUACCAGACUGAUUUCCCAUCGGCUACAUUGUAAUUCAAACGAAUAAUGUUUCAUGUUUUUGUGCUGCUACUCAGCCAGUUCUUAGUGACGUUUAGCCAGGUUUGCCCAUGUUUGGGAACAACUUUUGCAAACCAAAACUGAUACUUGGCCGGCACAUUCAAUUUGAGUUAAGAUCUGCAGCUCCACACACUAGGGACACAUCAGGAUCUCAAAAUAAGCGUUGUUCAAGAUUUAAAAAAAUAUGUUCUGAAUGCACUAUGCUGGUUAAGAUGUUUAACUCUGAACUGAAGGCCUGAAAGUUAACAAAGCAUAAAGAAAACAAUGCUACAAGCAGGCAUUCUUCUGGGCUCUAUGCAAGGAGAAGUCAUUUGUGCUUUCUCUGAGGCGUUGGAAAGAUGCCAGUUUUAGCUAUGCAUGCCUGGGCCGACUCGGAUUCAAAAACGAAAGUGCGCGUUUUAGCUACGCCUGGGCCGACUUCGACUCGGAUUCAAAUUGCUUGCCGCGUCUUUCUUUCUUGCUCGCCGUGUUUCCCCAAUUCCCGAUCCAUCUGACCUCGCCCUCCGAUCAGCCUCCCUCGAUCCAUCUUCCUCUCUCUCCCAACGCCGGAUCAACUCCGCGGCCGCGACCAUGGCCGGCACCACGGUGCACCCGCGACGUAGCGCCGCCACCGCCGACCUGCACUCCUGCUCCUCCCGCGUGCGCGUAAACCCAGCCCUGAUGGCGAACCCUGUGGCGGCUGCCAAGAGGCCAAAGCGUCUAGGAUCCGUGCGCGACGUGCAACCGCCGCCGGCGAAGCGCGUUCGCGGUGCCUGCUCCGGGGGCGAGCUCCAUGUCGCCGUCCCCGCCAACAUCAAGAACGGCAGCAAGCUUCCGUCUCCCAGCAGCGGCAAGGAUCCGCUCCACUCCUCCGCGAUCAAGAACCACGUCUCUGAAUCUCCGGAGAGCACUACGCAAUCGAAGCCGCCGAUCAGCAUGCGCCAACUGAUUGAGAAGGCUCGCCUCACCAUGGCUCUCCUCGACAAGGCUCGCUCUGCCUCCAAAGAAGAGGCCAGCCGUCGGCAGGACAUCGAGCGCAGCCGAGCGGAGGCCCGGCGAAAGGUGGAGCAGAUGGCGGACACCGUGCAGUUCAACGACCCCUGGAUCCAUUACUCCGACGUGACAAAGUCCCCUGAGGAGCUGCUCCAAGCAAGACAGCAAGCAUGGCGUUAUCAAGCUCACCUCCUCGAGAUGGCUCGUCGACGGGACUUUGCUCAAGCGAUGCAAAUGCUCCCGGCUUCCAAGGCUGCCAAUGCUGCUGCGCCUGUGAAGAAGGUCUCUCGUCAGGUCGCUUCCAACUUUCCAAGGCCUCUCACUGCUGCUGCGCCCGGUGUGAAGAAGAUGACUCCAGCAGCUUCAACUCUGCGCGCAAGAAGGGGGAUGGGGGAGCUCAGCUGCAAGAUUCCGAAGCAAAACCGUGUCACCGCUGCAGCACCAAGGAAGCAACCAAUUCCUUGGCUGCGUCCAGUGGUAUUACGCCUUCCCUAGUCUUUUAGUUGCUUCCUAAACCAUGCACACAUGAGUUUCAUUUAACCUUUGCAUCUCUAGGUUCUGCACUUAAUCACCAAGAUUUCUAGUGUUCUUUGAAUCCCUUUCAGUCAUUACUAAUUUUACAAGGGUGUCAGCAGAGUUUCCAUCUAGCUAGGCAGCAAAAAUCUUGCUAAGAUGUGUACGGCAUAGUUACACUACAUCCAUACUUGGUCCUAAGUUAAGGGUUUAAGUAAAUAAAGGGCAUUUUCAAUAAAUCAAAGUAAAGCAGAUGAGCCUAAAAAGGAAACUCAUGUACUGCAAUUCCGGCACCUCGCCGCAAAAUCCAAAACGCCCGUUUGCUACCCGGCUUGUAGCAGGAAAAAGGAGUAGAAUUGAACUUGUCGAUACACACGUAAUCAUGUGAGCUGCCUAGCGUUUGGAGACUAUGCUGACUCUCUUGUAAAAUUAAUCUUGGCUGAAUUGGAUUCUUAGGCAUUGGCGUCUUGGUGAGUUAAAGUUGCAGUUUCCGACGAGUAACAUUGGUUAGUGAACUCUUGUGUGUAUGUGUGGGUGAAGCUUUGAGCUAAGCAAGUCCUCA
RNAcentral lists this long non-coding RNA (49249 nucleotides) under Triticum aestivum (bread wheat). RNAcentral's name for it is "long non-coding RNA (TAES_LNC022029)". The record is from RNAcentral. Lineage: Eukaryota; Viridiplantae; Streptophyta; Magnoliopsida; Poales; Poaceae.